CUUAGUCUAAAAGGUAGCGGAAAAGCGUCUGAAAUUUUUUUUGAAAACCUGACCCCAGAGUGUGCCAGAUCCGCCACAAAUACAGGAGUUCCACUGUUCACACGGACAGAGUCUCCCCUGUAUUUGCACGGCGUCGCACAAGUACAAAAGUUCAAUCAUACAACAACCACAACCAGAUGAACAUACAAAUAACCACAGAUAUACAUUCAUACACCAUUCACCACAGAUUCACAAAUAUACAUUCGCUAUUUAAAUAUAAAUCCACAGAAAACCUUUUGAAAACUAUUCCCUACACAGGAACUUUUAUCUUUUCAAAACGCUACCACGAGGGGUAGAAAACUAUUUUCAUUUCAAGAAAACACAAAUUCCUUUAUUACAUUCCAAAACCAACUGAAAACUCAGAUAUCCAAAUAGUAAAAUAAAACUGAACCAUAAUAUGUCUAAGUUAGUUAUUUAUUUAAGCAUGAAGGGUAAGGGAAGAUAAACCAAACCACGGGACGGAAAGCUCUAUCGUAUGCUAGACCCGAUCCUCACCAGCUGUCCCACUCGGACCUGCUACGUCACCUGUAAUGGGGGCGGGGGGUGAGAACAUGUAAACAUGUCUCCCCUCCCAGUGGGUACCGCAAGCCGAAGAAGGCGAGGGGUACUCACUAGUCACGGAGAUAAACAAGGAUAUAGAUAAUGGUAGUACAGUAGCUAAAAUAAACAAGUACUGAAAUGUAUAUAAAUAAACCACUACAGCUACUGUAUGCAUGCAUCAACGGGACAAUCAGUCCAAAAGUACCCAAUCUGAAAUGGCCGUAUUGGUACCCAACACCUCAGGCCUAUGCCACAUCUGCUCUGACAGAAACAAGCCAUAUUGGUACCCAACACCUCAGGUUGAAAGCAUAUAACCUCACAAGGGCUCACGAGUUCACACAAGCAACCACUUUUCCGGAAAAGAACACCCCUUGCGGUGGAUCAGACCGCCGGUGUUCGUGAAAUGCGUGCGAGCAGUGGUGAUCGAUGCAGAAUGCUCAAUAGCCAACCGUCGGCAACCAGCCGACAAUCCUGCCCACUCAGGGCUCACUGACCAUAUGGGUCAUCAUGUAACCAACUCGACCAAACAGGUCACAAGUACAGGAUAUGAAACUCGACCAACAAGGUCACAAGUAUAGGAUAGAAAAAUCGACCAACAAGGUCCUAGAUACAACACAGGAGAAUCGACCAACCAGGUCGCAGAUAUCAUAUGCUGAUGAAAUCUACUCUACUCCUACAUAAGAUACUAAACAUGGAAACAACCAAGUAGAGUAAAUACGGGAAUAAUACGGGUGCAAGGCUCAAUAUGUAUAUGAUAAGCAAUAUAAACAGUAAGGGUGGAAGGAACGUCACCGAGCGUGCACCACUGUACCGACGUCGGGUCGAAGUACCCAUCACUGUCGUGUCUGACGAAAAUCUCUUCGACUGUGAAGACGGUGCAGACGAACCUACGAAAGUCACCGCGUUAGAACGCUAACCGCUCUAAGAAACCCAUCAAAGCAUAACCCACGAUAAAUCCACGCGGAAUUGAUUUCCCAAAUCGAUUACCGAAACCACCGGAAGUCCGAACAUCGCACCGGAAAUCAAUCGAUUGUUUCGAGAAAGGCCUUGGCCUUGACCGAUCAGUCCAGAGGUUAUCCUGUCGAGCCUUACACUGCUCCAAUAGCACCACAUCGAACAUAAAGCAUAAAACCUUACGAUACAUAGAAUCAAUCAUUUUUAUGUGAUUUCUAGGCUUUUCUGGACGACGUGCACAACAAACCAGAGUAUUAUAUACCGCCGUCGGCACGUCGCUGACANNNNNNNNNNNNNNNNNNNNNNNNNNNNNNNNNNNNNNNNNNNNNNNNNNNNNNNNNNNNNNNNNNNNNNNNNNNNNNNNNNNNNNNNNNNNNNNNNNNNNNNNNNNNNNNNNNNNNNNNNNNNNNNNNNNNNNNNNNNNNNNNNNNNNNNNNNNNNNNNNNNNNNNNNNNNNNNNNNNNNNNNNNNNNNNNNNNNNNNNNNNNNNNNNNNNNNNNNNNNNNNNNNNNNNNNNNNNNNNNNNNNNNNNNNNNNNNNNNNNNNNNNNNNNNNNNNNNNNNNNNNNNNNNNNNNNNNNNNNNNNNNNNNNNNNNNNNNNNNNNNNNNNNNNNNNNNNNNNNNNNNNNNNNNNNNNNNNNNNNNNNNNNNNNNNNNNNNNNNNNNNNNNNNNNNNNNNNNNNNNNNNNNNNNNNNNNNNNNNNNNNNNNNNNNNNNNNNNNNNNNNNNNNNNNNNNNNNNNNNNNNNNNNNNNNNNNNNNNNNNNNNNNNNNNNNNNNNNNNNNNNNNNNNNNNNNNNNNNNNNNNNNNNNNNNNNNNNNNNNNNNNNNNNNNNNNNNNNNNNNNNNNNNNNNNNNNNNNNNNNNNNNNNNNNNNNNNNNNNNNNNNNNNNNNNNNNNNNNNNNNNNNNNNNNNNNNNNNNNNNNNNNNNNNNNNNNNNNNNNNNNNNNNNNNNNNNNNNNNNNNNNNNNNNNNNNNNNNNNNNNNNNNNNNNNNNNNNNNNNNNNNNNNNNNNNNNNNNNNNNNNNNNNNNNNNNNNNNNNNNNNNNNNNNNNNNNNNNNNNNNNNNNNNNNNNNNNNNNNNNNNNNNNNNNNNNNNNNNNNNNNNNNNNNNNNNNNNNNNNNNNNNNNNNNNNNNNNNNNNNNNNNNNNNNNNNNNNNNNNNNNNNNNNNNNNNNNNNNNNNNNNNNNNNNNNNNNNNNNNNNNNNNNNNNNNNNNNNNNNNNNNNUUUCGGAGUAGCACGAUGUCAGCACGAUUGAGAUCAUCGUGCUCACUUCCCGAGUUUAGGAAGGCCUUAUCUGGAUGCACUGAAAGUGUGGACCGGAAAACUCGAAAAAAUAGUGCUUGAAAAAGAAAAUACCGUUACAGAAACCCGAAGGAGGGCUUAGGUUCGGGUGCGCUUGCAGCGGGAGGCGGCGCGGUCAGGCCGGAUGGAGGGAGCACUCUGUCCGAGAAUGGUCAGGGAGGCUUGCUGGCAGCGGCGAGCGGCAACCGGAUGGCGCGGCGGAGGAGAAUACGAAGUCACACCACUCCCUCUCCGGGUUCAAACUUCCGCGGCGCGCUCGGCGUGCGGCCGGAGAGUUGGCGGACGGCGACGAACGGUGGCGGAGGCGAGGGACAGGCGGUGCACCCCGGUGGGCGACGGCGUUGGAAAGCCGAGCUUAGGGGGCCGACUCGCUCGCAGGGUUCUGGGCGCGCAGGACGAUCAGCGGCGGCCUGCGGCGGCGGGGACGGCGGGGCGAUGCACGCGCGUGAUUGCGAUGUCGCGGGGCGACAGGACGGGCGCCCGGCAAGAAGGCGUGGUCGCAGAGCUCGAUCGAGGCUCAGGUCUGAGGCUGAGCGAGGGGUGACCCGCAUGGGAGCAGGGGUGGCUACGGCGCGCGGGUGGGGGGCAUGUGGGGAGGACGGGGAAGCUAAGUCUAAGUCCUAGGGAAGAGCCUCAGCGUUAUGAAGCUUCCUGAGUAUCACAGUCGAAGUGGAGCAAUGAGAGGAGAGCGGCAAUGGGAGAUGCGAGGGAGUUUUAUCAGGCAGGCCGAGCAGCCUCAGCGGGCGGCUGCAUGCACGGGCUUGGCAGGCGGUGGAGGUGCGGCUGGGGCAAGCUGGGGAUGAUUAGGGUUAUUGGUUUCUUUUGUGAAACCCUAGCAACCUAUAUAUAAGAAUACAUAGGUGUAUUUGCAAGGAACCCCUUCAACGUCUAUAUUUACAGUACAAGGCCCUUGCCUAGUGUUGUACUUGCGAUACGUACUCAACGAUCGAAAUCUCGCCGAAACGGCGCAUAAAAUAUGAGGAAUUUUCGGAUUAAUUUAUUUGCCAAAUGGAACUCCUCUCACGGACUUUUCUACGAUUCGAAUCGAUCCGUCGGAAUUUGCUGACGGAUUGCGCCAGCAGUUUCAGCCGAUAGGCAUCGAAUCUAGCAUUUGUAUUCGUGUGAAUUUGUUCGCCAUCAGCGACGAAAACCUACCUUCUCUAUUUCACAUAUAACGUAUAUAUUAUUACAUGUAAUAGUCAGUUAAACCCCUGUUCUCGGACAACGUGCAUCAGAAUUUAAUUCCGUCCGCUGCAUUGGUCCAAAAUGGUCGAGCCAUUCGAAACGAGCUAUUGAGUCUAUAUUCAGGAGUUUCAACGGUGCACCAGGAAACCUUCUCUAAUCGGUUUGGCUAAUCGGAAAAGCGGAGUUCUAUUACUUUAAGUCGCGGUUCGGGGUUUUGCGUAACAUCUCUCUUUUUAGGCUCAUUUUCUUCUGAAAUUUGACGAUGUUAGUAAUAAUUCACACAAAACAUCGUCACAAGGGCUUAAAUUUUAUGAUUUUCCAAAAAUUUCAGUUAUUACAUUAUUAGUGCAAUUAGGAUAUAAGAUUGUAUUAGAAUCCAAUAAAGUUGUAAUUUCUAAGGGAGAAAUGUUUAUUGGAAAAGGUUUUGUAUAUGAGGGUUUGUUCAAACUGAAUGUACUUUCUUUUGCUGAUAAUAAAAAUUCUUCUUUUUAUACUUCUUCUACUAUUGUUUUGAAUACUGAAUCUUGUGAUAUAUGGCAUGGCAGAUUAGGGCAUGUGAACCUUAGAUCUAUUCUGAAAUUAUCCAAUCUUAACCUUGUACCCAAAUUCAAGAGAUCCUAUAUCCAAAUGUGAGAUUUGUACCCAAGCUAAGCAGCCUAGGAAACCUUUUAAAUCUGUUCCUUAUAGGGAUACCCAGAUUCUUGAACUGAUUCAUAGUGAUGUCUGUGAUUCCAAUAGAGGUCCUACUCAUGGAGGAAGUCGUUACUUUGUGACCUUUAUAGAUGACUACUCCAAAUUUUGUUACACCUAUCUCUUGAAGACCAAAGAUGAAGUCCUCAAUAAGUUUAAAGCCUUUAAAGCAGAGACUAAAAACCAAUUGGAGAAGAGCAUUAAAAUUCUAAGGUUUGAUAGAGAAGGCGAGUAUACUUCAAAUGAAUUAAAUUUGUUCUGCAAAGAACAUGGAAUAAUUCAUGAAGUAACUGCUCCUUACUCACCUCAAUCAAAUGGUGUAGCUGAAAGAAAGAACCGAACCCUAUUAGACAUGGUUAAUGCUAUGAUUUUAAGUUCUGGUGUAUCUCAGAACUUGUGGGGGGAGGCUCUUUUAUCAGCUUGUUAUAUCCUCAAUAGGAUUCCUUCUAAGGAUAGAACCCAGACACCUUAUGAACUUUGGAAGGGAAGAGCACCUAGGCUGAGUUACUUCCGAGUGUGGGGGUGCUUAGCUAAGGUGUCUAUUUCUGAACCCAAAUGAAAGAAAAUUGGUCCUAAAACAGUAGAUGCCAUUUUCAUUGGAUAUUCCCUAGAUAGCAACACCUAUAGAUUUCUUAUAACCAACUCUGAGAUUUAUGAGAUUUCCAAUGAUACCUUGAUUGAAUCUAGAAUGCAACCUUCUUUGAAAAUAUCUUUCCUUUCAAAACUCGUAUCUCUAGAUCUGCAUUUGAUUAUCAGCCUACAGUUGAUCAUGCAUCUACAUUGGAUCAUUUACCUGCAUCUGAUUUAUCAUAUAGUUUAGAUCCUGUUAAAUCUAACCCACCAGCUGAACUGAGAAGAAGCAAGAGAGCUCGUAUCGAGAAGAACUUUGGUGAAGAUUUCUUUACUUUCUUAGUUGAAAGUACACCUUCAUCAUACAAGGAAGCUAUGAGUUCUUCUGAAGCUUCUUUUUGGAAGGAGGCUAUAAACAGUGAGAUCGAGUCAAUUAUUGGCAACAACACUUGGAUCCUCACUGAUUUACCUCCUGGAAACCAACCUUUAGGAUGUAAGUGGAUCUUUAAAAAGAAGCUUAGGACUAACGGAUCGGUAGAGAAGUAUAAGGGCGGCUUGUAGCUCAAGGUUUUCGACAAAAAGCUGAAGUUGAUUACUUUGACACAUAUGCGCCUGUUGCUCGUAUUGCUACUAUCCGAGUCAUUCUUGCAUUAGCAUCUAUUCAUAAGCUUUUGAUUCAUCAGAUGGAUGUCAAAACCGCUUUUCUUCAUGGAGAUCUUGAAGAAGAAAUCUAUAUGACUCAACCUGAAGGUUUCUCUGUGCCUGGUCAAGAAAAUAAGGUGUGUAAAUUAGUCCGCUCUUUGUAUGGACUAAAACAAGCACCUAAGCAGUGGCACGAGAAAUUUGACAGUGUUAUUGAAUCAUAUGGAUUUCAAACAAAUGAUUUUGACAACUGUCUCUAUUUCAAGAGAUUUGAUGAUCGUUGUGUUCUUCUUUGCCUCUAUGUUGAUGACAUCCUGAUCCUUGCACCUGAUCUUGAUCUGAUUAACCAAGUUAAAUUCUUUUUAUCGACUCAUUUUGAUAUGAAGGAUCUUGGUGAAGCAGAUGUGAUUUUAGGAAUGAAAAUUCUUAGAUCAUCAUAUUUUAUUCUUCUGACCCAAUCUCAUUAUACCCAAAUGGUUCUUGACAAAUUUGGAUAUUCUGAUUGCUCUCCUGUUUCUACUUCUUUUUAUCCUAGUGUUCAACUUGUGAAGAACACUGGUAAUCUUGUGAAUCAGGAGAGAUAUGCCCAGAUUAUUGGUUCUUUGAUGUACCUAACCAAUAGGACUACACCUAAUAUUGCCUAUGCUAUAUCGAAAUUAAGUAGAUAUACUAGUAACCCUAGUAUAACUCAUUGGAUUGCUUUGGAAAGAGUAUUUCGUUACCUUAAAGGUACUAUCUCUUAUUCUCUUCGUUUUGUUGGCUAUCCUGCUGUAAUUGAGGGAUACAGCGAUGCCAAUUGGAUUUUUGAUUCUUUGGAUAUCAAGUCAACUUUUGGUUAUGUUUUUAUUCUUGGUGGAGGUGCAGUUUCUUGGCAAUCCACCAAACAGACUAUAAUAGCCAGAAGUACUGUGAAGGCUGAGUUAGUUGCUCUUGAUACUACUUGUCUUGAAGCCGAGUGGCUCAAGAAUGUCACGCCCCGGAUAUCUCGUUCCCCGGGCACGCCGACAAAUCCGCCGUAUACAAAAAAAUUUUCCUGUAUACGAAGCGACAGCUGUACCUGUAAACAUACAAUACUACGAACAGUAGUAUAGAGCUGCUCGAGUAAACAAAAGCUAAACAAACUGAGCUUCAUAUACAUAGUUCAAAAAUCAAAAUACAGAGUUACUCGCACUAGCGAGUUUAGUACUAUGUACAUAAGCUCGAAAUAAAACAACUACCUGCAAUAGGGUGCCUCUAGCUCUGCUCGGCGGGUAGGGCUCUAACUCGCGACGCCCUUACCUCGAUCCUGAUCCACGGAAGGCGCAGCAGGCGAAACCUGUGGCUCUGCAAAAAUAGGGGUAACAACUAGGCUUGAGAACUACUAUAAAAACAAGUAGUCCUCAGUGGGUGCCGCCCAAAACAAUAUCGGUCUACCCACUCAGUCUACAGAAGGGAGCAAUGGUAAAUGUAAAGUGCUGGAAUGAACUCUACAGCUACAAGCUACUAGUCACUACACCAUCCUGCUCUAUGCUAACCAAUUGUAGGAAAUGUCAAAACUGACCCAAUCCAAUCGGGAUUGUAAACAUACCCGUCUCUGGGACUGUGAACACACCCGUCCUUGCCCAGUUGCGACUAUCAAGCUACCCCCACACUAACUGGUCCGUGGAGAGCAAGUCCAACCGGCAUUAGCGACCCGAACGCAAAAGCACAAAGCCCGUCUCCAGAGUCACACUCGUGGGCGCUACCCAACCGAGUAUGCAGCGUAUCUCUGUCGAGCUCAAUCAGGCUCUGAAAAGCCGAAGUCUAAUAACCGACUCUAACAGGUCUAACAACCAACAGAUCACGUGCUCUUGGCAGAAUCUGUCGCCAAAAAGACGAUCCAGGUCCACCGUCAACCCUGACGGCACCCAACAGUCCAAAACAGCCCAAACGACCCAGUAGAAAUCCACUCGGCGUACCAGCAUGAGCGUAAAUGUAUUUUAAACUACCUAGAGUACUCGUCUCGAGGAUACUGCGACAGUACAAUUUUAUAACGGCUCCUAGAGCUAAAUCAGGCAGUUUAAACAAGUGACAGGUCCAAAUCGCAGGUUUUCUCCUAAUUCAAAUUCCAAGUCCAACAUGUAUAACCUACUCAAUUUAUUACGACACGCUCCAAAUUCAGAUUUGUAAUCUACCAAAUAAUCCAUGAAUUCGAGCUAAAAUAGAUUAUCGAAAAUCGAAAUCUAUACAUGUCGACGAUUAUGAACAUAGGAGUAAAACUGAUGUAAACCCACCUCAAAGCUAAUCCCUGGCAGCACGGAAGUCCCACGGCUGCGGCACAACCUGCUGGAUCGACUGAAAAUGUCCGAGUCUCGAAAUCAAGCUAUCUCUAAGCUAUCAACAUCGAAAAUCCACAAUUCAGUCCAAAUACACAGCAGCAGAGAAGAGAAGGGUUUCGACCAAGCUAACCUUCACCAAAAUCCACAAGUAAGGUCUUUGUGGAUUCCUCUCGCAGUCCCGAAUCCAACGAACCAAGUCUCGUCGAAAUCCGAUGCUCCUACGUCGAGUACAAGCUAAAAUACUAAUAGUCGACGAUGAAUUUCAGCAACAACACUUAAGCUCGAAUUAAUGAUGCUUGGAGAAAUGAAGAAGCAAUUCGACGGAACAUUCACCUCGGCAGCGACUAGCACCGGCGUGACGUCAAGAACAACGAAGUCGCUCGCUCGCCCGGCCUCCUCGCACUGCUCCGGCAACAAUCGUAUCCCCAAACGGUUCCGCGGCGCGACGUCGGCGACGAAUCCGAGCUUCUUCCUCGCCUUCAACCGGAUGAAAGUGAGAGAGAGAAAGAUGAAGAAAUGCAGCAAGAGGCCUUCUCUCUCUCUACACGAAGCUAUAUAGAGAGAGGGUGUGUUGGUGAUACAAACGAGGGAGGGAAUUACCAAAUUAGCCCUCUACCUAUCUCCUUGUACCGGUACACGGGCUCCUGUACCGGUACAAGAGCCAACCCGAGAGCAGUUAAACCAGUGCGCGCUGGUUGUACCGGUACAGCCACGCUGGUUGUACCGGUAUAGCAAGCAGAGAAUUCUGCUGUUUUACAGAAUUCUUCGCGAUAAGCUGCCCUCGCGUCGCACGGAGUCUGUUUUGCGUUUAUUUGACGCCAACGCGACUCGGAAUUGUCCCGACACUCUUCAGAGCUGCCGACAAGCCACCACAACAACACACCAAGGAUCUCACAAAGAAUCUACUAUCAUCGAUUCCGUUGAUUUUUUCUCCUAUUCCACCUAUUUCUAUUAGGUGUGAUUCUCGAGCUGCAAUUGAUUUUUGUAAAAAGAAAUUGGUAAAUUCUAAAGCUAGUAGACAUAUUAAGUUGAAACAAAAGUCUGUUAGAUGGUUAACUCCUCAUGAUAUUAUUUCUUUGAGUUUUAUCAGAUCUUAUCAGAAUCUUGCAGAUUGCUUUACGAAAGGCCUGAAUAGGACUAAGGUCCUGGAGUCAUCGAGAGGGAUGGGACUUUGUCCGUAAAGGGCCUUCCUGCAGUGGGAACCUAACCUUUGUGAUAGGAGAUCCCUUGAAGAAGGUUCAAUGUGGUAAAAAUAAGCUGUCAGGUUGGCCAAAGAGCACUUUCUACAGUUUAUAUAGAGGAGAUUUUAGCUCCAAUUCCAUCCCUAUGGUGAGUAAUGCUGUGUAGUGGUUGAGGCUGAGCUCAUAACUCUUAAUGGGAUCUGAGGCGAUAAUUUUCGCGAGAUGUGACUCUACACACAUCCCUGAAGGAAACCACCUAUAUAAGAGUAUCCGUAUGUGGCCGCGGCUAUGAGAAGUUGGUUGUCCAUAGAAGCUCUUAUGAAAAAUCAAGGUACUGUACAUGGCCAUUAACGCACAGACUCGCGACGGAGAAUUCUGUACUGUGUGUGUGGUAGUUGAAGUCGGGGUCAAAAAACAUAGUUCAAGACCUGAUUCACUCCGAUUUCUUCUGAUGGAAACCAUUUACACUACGUGAAGUUAAGUCCUUAAAGACACCUUACCUACUGCAUAGUAUAAACACCCAAUGAUUCAUUAAUUUUGUGAUUUAUUGAUUUAUUGAUUUAUUAGUUUAAUUUUUAUUUUAUGAUUUUAAAUUUUGUGGGGAAUUGUUGAUAAUAAAAUAAAAUUCAAAAUCUUUAUUAUGUUUUUCAUCCAUUAUUAAUUGAAGAAUUUAUUUUUGCGGAAGUUUCGGUUUGCGUGGCGAGCGAACCGGCUCCCUGUGCGCACCGCUGCGCGCACGUCCGCGCGUCCAUCACGCGUCGGUUUGAAGAAGAACGUUUGACCCAACGUUCUAAUUAUGUUCAUAGUAUUUUAAGAUGUGAGGACAGAGCAUUUCAUACACAUGUAAAUGAAUGAAUGUGUGAGAGCUUCACAGGAUCGCUUUUCAAGAGUUAAUUUUAAUUUUCUUUUUACUAAUUUCAUCCACUUCAUUUGAUUGUUUUAUUGCUGGGUGUUGAAAGAGUUUUCGUCAACCUCUUCUGCGUUCGUGCUCGUAGGAGGAGGAGUUCCGGUCGUAUCUUGGGGCAGUGUUUUCGGUUAAUCCCGCACGAAGGAUGAGAAUACGUCUUAGGGCAGUACUUCGCACGCUUCCGGAUCAAAUUAUUUGUCAUCAUUCUUCUACAAUAUUUUAGAAUUUAGCGAUUAUCGGUAAGUUGAUUUUAUUAAUUUCAUCACUAAAUUAGUUAGAUCUAGUCACAAUCGGACUAUUCGUUGCGGUUUUUCCCCAACACAGCCGAAGAAAGCGGAAGAGGAACAAUUCGACCCAAUGUAAAGGUGUGACCUAGCUAACUUCAAGCAAAAGAAGAGGGUAACCCAAUUCGAUUCAAGUAAAGAAAGAGGGAAAUGUAUAGAAGACUUGAACUGGGCCGGGGGAGUCAACACUCAAUAAUAAUUGGUUUGGUUCAAGCAAAGAAAACAAAAAUCCGAUUCGGUUCAAACAAAUAAAGGGGAAAAUAUGUGAAAGACUUGAGCCCAUUCAUGAUGGAGCCCACACCGAACAAUAAAGGGAAUGUUGUCAUAUGGCAAAUUUUGGGAGAAUAAUGUAUAGGUAUAGACUUGAGCCAGUUCGGGGAGCCCACACUCAACGACGAUUUGUUCGGUUCUAGCAAAAAAAAAGGACCAAUUCGGUUCGAAACAAGAAAGAGAAAAAUAUGUAGAGUACAUGAGUCGGUUCAGGAUGGAUCCCACACUCAACAAUGAAGAGAACGUUGUCAUAUGAUAAAUUUAGAAAUAAUAAUGUAUAGAUAUAAAUAUAGAUAAUAGCUAGUAGAGAAAACGAAAUCGCAACGAUUGAAAAACCAAUACAAGAGAAUAAAACACAUAAAACAUGCUAAUUAAGUAUCCCACUCUUAUAUAGUUAUGAGCUUUACCAAUACAGGAGAAUAAAACACAUAAAACAUGCUAAUUAAGUAUCCCACUCUUAUAUAGUUAUGAGCUUUACCAAUACAAGAGAAUAAAACACAUAAAACAUGCUAAUUAAGUAUCCCACUCUUAUAUAGUUAUGAGCUUUACCAAUACAGGAGAAUAAAACACAUAAAACAUGCUAAUUAAGUAUCCCACUCUUAUAUAGUUAUGAGCUUUACCAAUACAAGAGAAUAAAACACAUAAAACAUGCUAAUUAAGUAUCCCACUCUUAUAUAGUUAUGAGCUUUUAUUUUCUCAUACAUUUGCUCGGGCAACACACUUUAUUAUAAUAUUAAUGAGUCAGACUUUAAUUGUGAUACCAAUUAAGUGCUAAAUCUAGCGAGUCAACCACUAAUAAGUUUUCACAAUUAAAACUGACCCAUUAAUUAUAUUUUGAUAAACAGACAUCUUUAUUUGUAGUACUAGUUCUUAUAAUAGAGAAUUUGAGGAUCAAUAGUAAACCUCAAUGACAGACCGCACGCCUAAUGCAUUCACUAUUUUAUAUUCCUUGUAACCUGCAUCGGUAAAUAAUUUGCUCCAUUCUUUUUCAUUUCUUUCUUUUCCUGGUGUUAGAACCAUCACCAGCAUAUCGAAGAAAAGUUGUGUUUCCUCGGACUUGAAAUGCUCACUCUCCCUACUGGUCAUCACCAUGUCAAUGAUAAUAACUUUACCUCCCUUUUCUUUUGGAGGAACAGCAUCCUUACAACGUUUUAAUAUCUUCACGCAGUCCUCGUCACUCCAAUCGUGUAAGGUCCACUGCAAGAAAUUAGAAAAUAAUUUGUAUACUUGAAUGAGAAAUCAUCUUUAAUCAGAGAUGUAAUUUUGGCAUCAAAACAAGGGUAAAGUGUACGAACGGUCACUACACUAUCCAGAUGUAGCAACUUAGUCCUUGCUUUUCUAAUUUGAAGGCCUUAGUUUCUAAACUUUAAUGUACGAUGCAAUUUAAUCUCUGACACACUAAAAAGAAUUUUAAUUGCUAUUAUAUUGUGAUAUUUUAAUUAUGAUUAAAGUAAAUUGAACACGGUGAAUCAUUCAAAAACCAAAACCCAGUGAACACGGUGAAUCAUUCACCGUGUUUCAUAUUUAUAUAUUCAUUUUCUUCUUUUAGGGAUGUCGGUCGGUUUUGGAUCGGAUUUUCAAAAAUCCAAACCCGAAUCCGAAAAUCAAAUUAAAAUCCGAACCCGAAUCCGAAAAUCAAAUUAAAAUCCGAACCCGAAUCCGAACCUGGCGGAUUUUAAAAAUCCAUACCCAUAUAACUUUAAUAUAUGGAUAUGGGUAUGGAUUUUUAAAACCCGCCGGGUUCGAGUUUUAAUUUAAUUUCGGAUUUGGUUUCGGGUUUUUAAAAAUCCGAUCCAAACCCGACCUGUUGACAUGCUUAAAAGAAAAAAAAAAAAGAAAUAUAAAUAUGAAACACGGUGAAUGUAACGAACCAGCCCACUAGCAACAAUAACUCGUUGGGCCCAAACCAUCGCCCCAAAAUGUUUAAGCCCAGUUAUUAUUACUAGUGUCUAAGUCUCUUAUAAACCCAAUGACAACCCCAUUUUCAUCCGAUGUGGGAUUAUUGGGGUGUCACAGACUCCCCCCGUUAAGGCCCUGACGUCCUCGUCAGUCCAAUGACACACACAGCCCAAGAUCACCAGGCGAUGUGAGGCUCGUCUCGCUAGCCCGUCAUCCAGACCCUGGCUCAGUCGAGACUCGCUAUACAUGUCCAGCUGGUGAACUGGCUCUGAUACCAAAUGUAACGACCUAGCCCACUAGCAACAAUAACUCGUUGGGUCCAAACCACCGGCCCAAAAUGCUUAAGCCCAGUUAUUAUUACUAGUGUCUAAGUCUCUUAUAAACCCAAUGACAACCCCAUUCCCAUCCGAUGUGGAAUUAUUGGGGUGUCACAGUGAAUCAUUCACCGUGUUUGAACACGGUAAAUGAUUCAUCGUGUUCAACUUGCCAACCAACCCCCCAGCCCGCCCACGUGGCGCUUUCGUGGCGCCUGCUUGGCAGGAGUAGGGUCAUUUUUGUAAUUAUAAAUUUGUUGGGGCUAGUUUUAAAAUAAAUUUUUUUUAGGGGGCCAUUUGCAAAAAAAGUCCGAUAAAAAAUUUAAAUUAAAAAAAAAAAAUAUAGGUUUAUACUAACACACGAAUACAUGCCAUGAAGCUUCACAUAGAAGAUAUUUUAAAGAUUUAAUAUAAAUAUAAAUAUAGAGUAAUAAAAAUAAAAAGAUUAAGAGAAAAUAUAUCAUAUAUAAAAAAUUAUCUUUUAUAAUACGAAUCCAACGUGCUCUUAGGGCCGAUUUAGUUUGGAGUAUAAGCAGGGAUAACAAAAGUUAUCCUGAUAUUCCGCCAAACGGAAUAAUUUUUGGUCGAAAUAUUUUAUCCCGAUCAAAUCUUGCUAUUCUGGACUAUUCCGGAAUAGCUUGGGAUUUACUAUUCCACAAUUUUGAUGUAAUAGUUCUCUUCCAAUAUUUAAUUUCAAACUUUAUUAAAACUAUAAAAACUAAAUUAUAUAAAUAUAAUACGUUAUAUAUUAUAAUAUAUUAUUUUUAUUAUAAAAUUAUUAAUUGUACUAUAUUAAUACAUAUUAUUUAUUUUUAAUAUUAUAAUAAAUUNAUUUAUUAUAAUAAAUUAUUUUUAUUAAUUGUUUCCACCCCUAUUCUUAUUUUAAAAUUUUAAAAUUUAAAAUUUAAAAUUUAAAAUUUAAAAAUUCAAAUUUAAAUUUUAAAAUUUUAAAAUUUAUAAUUUGUAAUCUCAAAAUUAAAAUUUAUAAUUUUAAAUUCUAAAUUUUAGAAUUUGAUAUUUUAAAUUUUUGAAAUUUAAAAUGUAAUAUUUUAUAUUUUUCAAAUUUAAAUUUGUUCUUAAAUUUAUAGUUUUAUAUUUAAAAUUCAAAAUUUAAGAUUUUAAAUUUUAAAAUUUUAAUUUCAAUGAAAAGGAUAAUAUUAUUAUUUUUUAUUUAUAACUAAUCACUAUCUUUUUUUAUUCUAUCUUAUCUAUACAAAUGCUAUUUUUUUUAUUUUCAAAAACAAUUAAUCCAAUUUCUAUCCAAACGUAAAAUUGCUUUAGUUUUUAUUUAUACCUGAAUUUAUAUAUAUCUCUGAAAUAAAUAAUUCUUACUUAUAUCCCAACUUAAGGAUACCUUAUUAGGGUGUAUAAAUUAAUUAAUAUAUUUUUAUUAUAAUAUCCCCACGGAGGAUGUCACAGUGAAUGUACUCAAACAUAUCUCGUACCUUGAGUAGGAUAGCAUCUGCGGGAGGAAUGUACUCAAACAUAUCUCCACCUACAAAAGCAAUCCUCCCGUUUUCUUCACUCGUCAAGCCUUCAACUACAUGCGGAAGGUCGAAAACGGUGAACUGCACCUGCGGAAGGGCUUUAGCAAUUGCUCGCGCCAACGUGCCUGUGCCGCCUGCAACGUCCACCACCGAUUGCAACCCGCAAAACGUGUCAAUGCACGCGCUCGCGACCAGUUUGCCCACCAAACUGGCGUCGCUCGCCAUCGCCUCAUUAAAGGAGUCACCGAAACUCGCAUUUUGCUUUGUUACUCCCCAGAUGUGAUCUCCGUGAAAUAUUUCAAAGGCGGUCGGCACAUUUGAUUGCCGAAACCACUCGCCAAGGCUAUGCCAUGGCAACGUAAAUAUACGGUCGAGCAUGUUAAGCACAAACGGUGAAACACUAACAUCACUUUCCUUCAAAAGGAGGGAAGAGUUGACGGUUGGGAGAAAGAGUUCAACAUCCCUCUCACCGUCCCCGUCGCCCUUCUUAAUCUUCUGACAAGUGAAGAAGCCGGAGUGCACGAGGAGGCGCAUCAGGCGGCGCAGGUGAUCAAUACGGGUCGACGGAAUGGACAGCUUGUUCGCCAGCUCGCAGAGCGAGAUAGGCCUGCCGCCGUUCGAGUGCACUGCAUCGGGGAUGCCGAGCUCCACGGCACAUUUUAGGGACAUUGAAUUUAUGAAGUUAAAAAUGUGGUUCCACACAUGGGAUUGAGCUUCUAACAAAUCCUUAGAUUCUAUUACACGUUCCAUCCCACAAAUUAGCUACCCUACUAAGAAAGAUCUCUCGUAGUAGUAAUAUGAAAUUGCACUCCUCCUAGCUUGUGGAUUAUUGGGCUCUCGUUGCUCCUUAAAUAGCCAAAACAAACUGAACACGUGCUUGUUUGUGGGCCCCAGGACUGUUUAGUUAGCAACCUAAUUACCAACGAAAUGAGCUAGACAAUAGUGGUGGCCAAAAGCAUAUGAAUAAGCCGAGUUCGCUACUUAAAAAAUCUUUAGUUUUACAUUUUUUUUUUCUUUUCCGAAAAUACUUUUAUCCUUUUUAAUAAUAUUUUUAUGUCUAGUCAUUUUGAACAAUUUAUUUCAAAUAAUUAAUCAAAUAAUAAUUUAUUCUUAAAUAUGGAUCUUAAUUUUUUGCCAUAAGAUCUAAUCCAACAGUUAAAAACAAAAGUAUCUAUUACAUUUUGUGACAAUAAUACGUACCCUGCAUUCGUAAUAUCCGCUAUUUCCUAUCUAGAUUUUUUUUAAUUUUUUUUUUUUGAGAAAAUGAAGACAUAGUUUUCUAUCAAUUUAAGUCUGUCAAGACGUAAAAAAAAAUUAUUAAAUAUGAAAAUAUAAAAGUAUUAUUUUUUAUCCACAUAAGUUUUUAAAGAAAAUAAUUAUUUCGUAUAAUUAAACAGUUUUAUUGGGCAAAUGUUCACAUUUGCGUGUUGGGGUGUCAAACUUGUCAAGGACCUAAAUGUGGUACCGACUCCGUAGGCCACGAGUCGAAUGUCCCUGAUAAAUUAUUAAAUGUGGUUGAAGCGUUUGGAGGGAAACAUCAUGUCUAACUACUCUUUGUAGCUUCGAAGUUCCAAACCUUUUUCUGCUCGCAUUCACUACCUCACGCCUUCGGCCUGCCCUUGAGCACUAGUUGGCCUGCUUCACAUUUUCCAUGCAAUAAAUUGUCGCAAAGUGCUCCAUCUGACUCUUUCGGUUUGAUAGCUUGUUUGACAGUGUCGCCCCGGAUUACACGUUUUCCGGGCACGCCGAUAAAUCCGCCAUAUAUAAAGAAAUUUUUUCUGUAUAUGAAACGAUAGCUGUACCUAUAAAUCAUACAAUACUACAAACAGUAGUAUAGAGCUACUAGAGUAAACAGAGGCUAAACAAAUGGAGUUCCAUAUACAUAGUUCAAUACUAAAAAUACAGAGCUACUCGCACUGGCGAGUUAAGUAUACUAUGUAUAUGAACUCAAAACAAACAUCUACCUGCAGUAGGGGUACCUUUAGCUCGGCACGUCUGGUAUGGCUCUUACUCGCGACGCCCUUGCCUCGAUCCUGGUCGGCAACAGCAGCAGCCGAAGACGAUGGCUCUACAAAAACAAGAGGGUAAAAUAGGGCGUGAGAACUACUGUAAAAACAGCUAGUCCUCAGUGGGUGCCGCCCUCAACAAUAUCGGUCCACCCACUAAGUCUACAGAAGGGAGCAAAAAUAGUAGUAAAUGCAGAAAUGAAAUCAACCGCUAUGGAUCACUACACUAUCAUGCUCUACACUAACCAACUGUAGGAAAUGUCAAAUCUGACCCAAUCCAAUUGGGACUGUAAGCAUACCCGUCCCUGAGACUGUGAACACACCCGUCCCUAUCCAGUUGUGACUAUCUAGCUACCUCCACACUACUAGUCCGUGAGAGCAAGUCCAACCGGCAUGAGCGACACCAACGCGAAAGUACAGUACCCGUCUCCGGAGUGGCACUCGUGGGAGCUACCCAACCGAGUAUGCAGCGUAUCUCUGUCGAGCUCAAUUAGGCUCUCGAAAGCCAAAGUCCAGUAACCGACUCAAACUUGUCUAACAACCAACAGGUAACGUGCCCUCGGCACAAUCCGACGCCAAAAAGGCGAUACGGGUCCACCGUCAACCCCGACGGCACCCAACAGUCCGAAACAGCCUGAACGUUACUGUAAAAAUUACACUCGGCCUUCCAGCACGAGCGUAACUGAAAACUAAACUACCUGAAUUACUCACUAUGAGGAUACUGCAACAGUAUAAAAUAAUACUACGGCCCCUAGAGCUAAAUCAAGUAGUUUACAUGUACCGAUCGUUAUCGCGUUUUCUCCUAAGUCAAAUCCAAGUCCAACAUGUAUAUUUAGGGUUUACUAAUCAUGUUCUUAAAUCAGAUUUCAUCAAGAUAUAAUCGACGAAAUUGAGCUACACAUGAUAUACAAAACUGAAAAUCAUACAUGUCGACUAAUACGAUACUUAGGAAUAAACCUGUCACGCCCCGGGACCGGCGGAGGCCCUCCCGGUAGCGUGCCCAGACCCGCCAUAUGUCUACACAUAUAAGGCAUCUACAAUAAAGCGGAAGUAAAAGCAAGAAAUAGAACAAAUAGAAUAGUAACAACUAAUGAUAUCAGAGCGAGCAAAGUUCUAUCAUAUAAACCAGCGUAAAGGAAAUAUAUCAAGACGAAGAAAGUAAAACAUAAGGUGAUACAAAACUAACUCCUCAAAAGAAAUACCAAGAUCCAAAAGAAAGGUGGUCUCUAUAUAUAUACGGGUACAACUCUCAACCUCUCACAAAAUAAAAUAUCGAGAGGUAGACCACCUAAACUCGUCUCUCGCUGAAAGGCUAACUCGAAGCGACGCCCUUCCCACGGUACCUAGUCUCUCCCGGCGUGGAAGGCUCUGAAAGAAAACAUAAAACAGAAGGCGUGAGAACUAUAAUUUAUAGUUCCCAGUGGGCAAUUACUGACCUCAGCUCAUUACACCACUAGGCCCAAAAGAAAAAGGUAAGUCAAAAGCGAUAGCAAUAACGAGUAAUUUGCAUCUAUGAAAGCAUAAUGAAAUGCUAAAAUAUUACUUGCGAUUAAACAUGGCAUUUAUGUAAUGCACAAUUAUCCUGUCAUGAAGAGUAUGUCUCUACUUAGCCAUAAAUAAUGUCAUGGUUUGCUUAAUGAAAUUAUGAGGAUUAUCCCUUAUCAUAGCAACGUUGUUUAUAUGAAUGCAAUUAAACACUGCCUCCUAGCAUACUACAUGUAUGUAUGUAUACCCAAAGUCCAAACCUAUGCUAGAAACAAGUCCGAGUAAUCCAACUACCACUCUCUAUUUAAUAGUGAUUAUAACAAACUCAUCCUGUGUCGAUUUCCAUUUCCAAUUAGGGACCUACCAAGGGUAGUCCAGCUUGCGCCGCCUAAGUGCCUGUGGUAGCCCAACAUCCCUAUUCUUGGAAUGUGUCUGUCCCACUCGACCCCGUAGGCUUCUCAAUACCGCACGAGCGAACAUAAGUCGCGUAGGCUAACUCCGGAGUGCCGGCUUGUAGGGAGCGACCCUCACAAGCAUGUGCGAAUGAGCACAAAUGGCAAACAAGCGUAGUCAAUGGCUCAAGUAUCCAACCCUCAUGUCUCUAACAUGGUAUAGUCACUAGCAUCUCGAAGAUCUAGUUCUAAGUCACAAAUGAAGUUCCAACAUUCUCUAGGUCUAGUGCCCCUUUAUGACACUUAGACAUUUAAUGUUUAAGCAUGUUCCACAUUCCUCAAUGGCCCUAUCCACUAGGUUCUCACAUGUCCCGAGCUCAAUGCCGCUUGAUGACAUUAGCUCUCUAGUUCACAUACCUUCUAAAUGGCAAUCUUGUCAUCUUUCAUGUCACAAGUAAACUCAAGUUUAAAUGCAUGAAUCCGAACUCAUUUACACUAUAGAAGCAUGAAACCAAGUCUCAUAAAGAAUGCUAAAUGCAACCAUAGAUCUCCCAAGCAACUCUCUACUACAUAGAGGUCCAAAAUUUCAUCAUAUAUAACAUAUGCAUUUUAAGCAUUCUAAAAAUCAUAAUAAAUACAAUUAGGAUGAAUAUGCAUGCUUUUCCAAUUUACGGAACAUAUAUAACCAUAUAUGAGAAUUUCUCAUAGGUAGGCUAGGUCAAACCCACCGAACCGUCGCGUAGUGCCCCGUUUCGCCGAACAAAGUUGUCCCCGAGUCUCGAAAUACCCUAGAAGUAUUGAGCGAAGAGAUACACGGGCAUUACGAUCAAUCUAUAAGGUCAAACUUUAACAACCUAACAAAAGGGCUAAAACUCACCUCAAGAGAAGAAAUCUCUUCCAAAGCUCUAAAAGAGAGCUAGAACCCUUCCAAUCCAAGCUCAAGGAAGGUUCUAAUCCAAUCAAUCUAGCCUCAAAAGCCCUAGAUCAAAAAGCCCCAAAAUCAACCCUAAAACCUCAUUCUAGGGUUCCAAUACAAUAAAACCUCAAAUCCAAGGUCUAGAUGGAGAGAAAGGGCUACCAACCUCUAAGAAGCUCCAAUCCAAGCUCAAAGGGUGAAGAUCUUCUCCUUUGCAAGCUCCAAGUCCAAGCCUUCAAGCAUGAACAAGGUGGGAAGAGGAAGAAAAGCAAAGGGAUGCUCCAAGCCCAAGCUAGAUCCUUCUCCUCUUCUUCUCCUUCCUCUUCUUCUCCUUCUUCUCUCUCUAGCAAGGAUGUGGGCAGAGUGUGAGGAGGGAAAAUGAGGAGAAGAGAGGAUGGAUGGGUCAUAUAGACCAUCUAUUGUAACAAAAUCCAGCUAGGUCCUCCAAAAGUCCAAUAUUACCACAGCCCGGUCUGGGCAGUUUUCGCCCAGAGAGACCGGUCUCUCCCCAGCAGGGACCGGUCUCUCGCUGCGAACCCGGAGAACCAACGUUCGGGAACCGGUCUCUCCUUGCGUGGGACCGGUCUCUCUUUGCGAAGGCGCGCUCGGGGACCGGUCUCGCCCGCCAGGGACCGGUUGCCUCAAGGCUGCCGCAACACUGCUUACUGGGGGACCAGUCUUUCCUUCCAGGGACCGGUCCCCGAGAGUAAAAACUCUCAGGACUUGUCCAGAAUUUCAGUUUUCGAACUUUUUAGGUCGGAAAACAUUCUACAACCCUCCACCAAGUGUGGAAAAGCUCGAAAUACAUCCAAAUACUCGAACCUGGCAAUUUGCAAAGGUCCAGUGUGCUAUAUUCACCCUUCCUAAAAGGGAGUUUCGUCCGCGAAACUCGAAAUGACAAAUACCUCAAGCCUCCAUCUGAAAAAGAUGGGGAUAGCGCUCCCGCAGUGCGCUCUCUAGCUCCCAAGUAGCCUCGCGCUCGUCGUGGUUGCUCUAAAGCACCUUCACGUAAGGAAUUUCUCGGUUCCGCAAUCUUUUCACCUUGCGAGCCAAAAUCCUCAAGGGUUGCUCUUCAAACCUCAAAUCAUCCCUCAACUCCAAAGGCGUAGCGUCCAAAACAUGAACCGGAUCGUGGAUGUACUUCCGAAGGACCGAUACAUGGAACACAUUGUGUACCCCCGAUAGGUUUGGCGGUAGAGCGAGUCUAUACGCUACCGGGCCUACACGCUCCAAAACCUCAUAUGGUCCAAUGUAUCGGGGGCUUAACUUACCCCGGAUUCCAAAUCUUCUAAUUCCUUUGUUCUGAAAGUUUUGAGGAGCCCAAGGAUCUAUCUAGAUUGUAUCUAUCACCUAGAGGGGGGGUGAAUAGGUGUAACGGCCAAAAACCACAAAUCUCGAUGCGAUAAAAAUAAAUGCGGAAAAUAAAAAGCACACCGAGAUUUACGUGGGAAAACUCCAACUUGGAGAAAAACCCACGGGACCAACACGCGAAAAAAUAAUUCACUAAGAGAAAAGAUUACAAGGUGAUUACCGACUCCACGGACUUAACCUCUCUUAACCUCCUAUGAAUCUUCGCGCUACCCUCCGGGUUGUCCACGCCCUCACGUCCGAAUCCACGAACGCCUCCACUUCGAAUCCACGAAGUUUCAAUCACGCCGAAUCCACGACGCCACUCGAAUACACGAGCCCACGAUCCGAAUCCACGAACCGCCGUCAAACACGCCGAAUCCACGACGCCGUCAUGAAGAGCAUCAUGAUUAUGGUGAUCCUUCGCUUAGGAGUAUCGUAGAAACCCAGGGAAUAGAACUCCAAGCAAAGCGGAGAUCAAAUCGACAUAUUAAUAUCAAAUUUCAAUAUCUCGAUUUGAUCUAAAAGAGGCUUUUUGUAGAAAAUAGGUUUUAGAUGAAAUCCGAGCCUCUAGGGUUUCUCAAACAUGUAUUCUUAUGAUGCUUAAUCAAUUAGAGAACCCCUAUAGCUUAUUUAUAGACUUUAGAAUCAAUUGGAGUCGAAUUAGAAAGUUUCUUUCCAAAAUCAGCACCUUGUACCGGAACAAGAAAUGUUGUCCAGGGUACACCAUGACGGAAGAUUUUUCUGCGAAGCUCCUGUACCCUGGAUAGGCUGUUGCUUGUUCCGGAACAAGGCUUGUACCGGUACAGCAUGAAGCUUUUACCGGAACAACCAUCAACCUUUCUGCGCGGACGUUGAUGGCUGUACCCUGGACAGAAAAUCCUUGUACCGGUACAGCAAUGCAAUUUUCGCUGAAAAUGCAUUGUUUUGGAUUUUACAAACUCUUAGAAACAUUCUAAUCAAUUACAACUUGGAAACAUGAUUCUAAGAUCUAUAAUUAAGUAUGAAUCACCAUAAACAAGAUUUAAAGCUUACCUACGCAUCGUGAUUCAUGUUUUACGUGUUUUGCAUCCUUUCCGAUUCUUCGAAGUCUUGGAUUCUUCGAUCUUCAAUACUCCGCUCCGAACUUCUUCAAGACUCCGACUCGACCCACGAAACUUGCCAACACAUAGGACCUAACAUGGUCGACGAGACUUUCAAGAACACAUGGUUUCCAAUCUGAAACUCCAAGUCUCGUCGACGCCGAUCAGCAUAACUCCUCUGCCUACUCUGGGCUGUCAACAAUCGCUCCCGAGCAAUGCGAACCUUGUCCUCUGCCUCCUGGAGCACAUCAGGGCCUAAAGCCAAUCUCUCACCAACUUCACUCCAAUGAAGUGGCGAUCUACACUUCCGUCCAUAGAGUGCCUCGAACGGUGCCAUCUUGAUGCUUGCUUGAUAACUAUUGUUAUAAGCAAACUCUGCCAUCGGUAGAUGCUGCGACCAUCCUCCCUGGAAAUCAAUCACACAAGCUCGAAGUAUGUCCUCGAGAGUCUGAAUAGUACGCUCUGACUGCCCGUCACUCUGGGGGUGGAAAGCAGUGCUGAAAUCCAAGCGCGUACCCAAAGCGUCCUGUAAGCUCCUCCAAAAGUGGGAUACAAAACGGGGGUCUCGAUCCGAUACUAUAGAAGUAGGUACCCCGUGCAAUCGCACAAUCUCAUCCAAAUAAAUCUGUGCUAGUCUCUCACCAGUCCAAGUAGUGUGGAUAGGUAUGAAAUGUGCCGAUUUCGUCAAUCUAUCCACAAUCACCUAAAUAGCGUCAUGCCCGGCCUGUGAGCGAGGCAAUCCCAUCACAAAAUCCAUGGUGAUCUUUUCCCAUUUCCACACUAGAAUCGGUAGACUCUGCAGCUUCCCCGCAGGAACUCGAUGCUCAGCCUUCACCUGUUGGCAAGUUAGACAUCUAGCAACAAACUCACCAACAUCCUUUUUCAUCCCGGGCCACCAGUAAUGCAACUUCAAGUCCUUGUACAUCUUGGUGCCUCCCGAAUGUAUAGCAUACGGUGCUCGGUGUGCUUCUUGAAGAAUAUCCUCUUUGAUGCCCAAGUCCGCCGGUACACAAAGUCGUCCGCGGAAACGCAUCAAUCCAUCACCGUCUAAAGUGAAGUCACCGGUGCAACCAUCAACCAUCUUAGCUCGAAUCUUUUGCAACUCCGAGUCGGAAGCUUGCUUCUCUUUAAUCCUUUCCAAAAGUGUAGGUUGCACCACUAAAGUCAUCAGUCUCAAAGGUGUAUCAGGAGCCAACACCUCCAACUCCAACCGCUUCAUCUGCUCGAAUGAGUAACCACAAGCAUCGCUAAGUUCUCAGUCGAUUUCCUACUUAGUGCAUCCGCCACCACGUUAGCCUUGCCCGAGUGGUAAAGUAUCGUCAAAUCAUAAUCCUUGAGUAGCUCCAACCAUCUGCGCUGCCUCAAGUUCAACUCCUUCUGAGUGAAUAAAUACUUUAAGCUUUUGUGAUCCGUAUAUACUUCGCAUCGCUCGCCAUAGAGGUAAUGGCGCCAUAGCUUCAAUGCAAAGACUACGGCCGCCAACUCCAAGUCAUGGGUAGGAUAGUUCCUCUCAUAAUCCUUCAAUUGGCGAGAUGCAUACGCGAUCACUUUCCCGUCCUGCAUCAAAACACAGCCCAAUCCAUUAAAGGAAGCAUCACUAUAAAUCACAUACCCUGCUCCAGCAGUCGGCAAGGUAAGGAUCGAGGCAGUCGUCAAUCUCUGCUUCAACUCUUGGAAGCUCCUUUCACACGCAUCAUUCCAAAUAAACUUCGUUCCUUCAUGCGUGAGCCUCGUGAGGGGAGUAGAUAACUUUGCAAAUCCCUCAACGAACCGUCGAUAGUAGCCGGCCAAACCAAGAAAGCUCCGAAUCUCCGUGACACUCGUUGGCCUUGGCCAAUCCUUGAUAGCCUCAAUUUUCCUCGGAUCCACGGCGAUGCCUGAUCCUGAAAUCACAUGGCCCAAAAACGCCACCUCUCUAAGCCAAAAUUCAUACUUUUUCAACUGGGCGUAGAGCUUCUCUUCCCAAAGCACUUGAAGUACAAGUCUCAAGUGUUCCUCGUGAUCCGCAUCACUCUGGGAAUACACUAAGAUGUCGUCGAUGAACACCACGACAAACCGGUCUAAGUAAGGCUUGAAAACACGGUUCAUUAAAUCCAUAAAAGCUGCUGGGGCAUUAGUAAGCCCAAACGGCAUAACGGUAAACUCAUAAUGUCCAUACCGUGUUCUAAAAGCCGUCUUCGACACAUCCUCAGGCUUGAUCUUCAACUGGUGAUAUCCCGACUGCAAGUCGAUCUUGGAAUAUACACAAGAUCCCUGGAGCUCAUCAAAUAGAUCAUCAAUUCUCGGUAAUGGAUACUUGUUCUUAAUCGUGACUUUGUUAAGUUCACGAUAAUCCACGCACAAGCGAAGUGAUCCAUCCUUCUUUUUCACAAAUAGGACCGGUGCUCCCCAAGGUGAAACACUCGGUCGCACAAAACCCUUGUCCAGAAGAUCCUGCAACUGUGCCUUCAGCUCCUUCAAUUCUGCUGGUGCCAUCCUAUAGGGUGCCUUUGAGAUUGGGGUAGUCCCGGGGACGAGCUCUACUACAAACUCAAUCUCCCUAUCAGGAGGCAUGCCUGGAAGCUCCGCUGGAAACACAUCUCCAAACUCCCGCACUACGGGGAUAUCCUCAAUCCUAGGGGCGUCGUCCAUACCCCGCAACACAACAGUAGCCAAAUAGGCAACGCAGCCUCUACUAAUCAACUGCCGAGCUCGAGAAGAGCUAAUCGUCAUCGCAAAUAGCGAACUCUGGCAUCCUUGGUACACAACCUCCGCCUGCCCCGGCUCUCUAAAUGUCACCGUUCGAUUCUUACAAUCGAUGGUGGCAAAGUACUUGGUUAGCCAAUCCAUGCCCAACACAACAUCAAACUCCCCGAGUUUGUGCAAAGCUAGCAAGUUGUCACGCCCCGGGGUCCCUUUAGGUUAAAAACACAGCGGAAAUUUUUUUUUUUUUUGCAAACCUGACCCCAGGGUAUGCCAGAUCCGCCACAAAUACAGGGAAUCCACUGUUCACACGGACAGAGUCUCCCCUGUAUUUGCACGGCGUCGCACAAGUACAAGAGUAUAGCCAGGAAACAACCACAAACCAAAUGAAUAUAAAGAUAACUAUACAUUCAUACAUUCACCAUUCACAUCACAGUUUUACAUUCAGUGUUUAAAUAGAAAUUCACGAAAAUUCUUUUGAAAACUGUUCCCUACACGGAAACCUUUAUUCUUUAAGAAACGCUACCACGAGGGGUAGAAAACCUUUUAUUUCAAGAAAACACAAUUUCUUUAUUACAUUCCAAAACCAACUGAAAACUCAGAUAUUCAAAUAAUAAAACAAAACUGAACCAUGUAAACCGACUAAGCUAUAUAUAUCCACAGAAAUAAAAAGGGUAAUAGCUAAAUCGAAAUAACCUGGGUCGGAAGCUCUAUCAACCGCUACACACGUACCUCACGUCUCGUCCCACUACUCAACGCCCGCGAUACCUGAAAAAUGGUGGGGGAGGUGAGAACAUGUAAACAUGUCUCUCCUCCCAGUGGGUACCGCAAGCCGAAGAAGGCGAGGAGUACUCACCGGAUCAGGAAGAACUAUACAACAACACGGGUCAGUGAAAAUAAACAAGGUAAUGAGCAGAUAUACAAUAGCGAUAAACUGAAAGGAAGUAAGAACUGUACUGAAUAAACGGCUACCGCUACUGUAACUAGAACAGAAAGCAUACAUGAAUAUCUACUAUAGUAGCAAGACAACUAUAAGGUAAGAUCUGUAAGUAUGCAUGGAACGACCCCUACUAUAGACGUAUGCGUCAAUGGGACAAUCAGUCCAAAAGUAUCCAAUCUGAUACCAAUGCUCUCUUGGUCAGCACCGCAGACCUCAAGCCAAUACCCUGGAGGUCCGCACCGCAACACCUCCCGACAGUACCACUGCCGCUCUAACAUGCAUAUAACCCCUCGGGGCUCACGGGUUGACACCUGCAACCACUUUUCCGGAAAAGAACACUCCUUGCGGUGGAUCAGACCGCCAGUGUUCGUGAAAUGCGACAAGUAUCGGGCGAUCAAUGCAAUAUGCUCAACGAUCAACCGUCGGCAACCAACCGACAAUCCUGCCCCCCCCAGGGCCCAUCGACCGCAUGGGUCAUCAUGUAAACAAAUCGACCAACCAGGUCGUAAGUAUAUGGUAUAAAACUCGACCAACCAGGUCACCAGUACAGGAUAUGAAACUCGACCAACAAGGUCACAAGUAUAGGAUAGGAAACUCGACCAACUAGGUCCUAGAUACGACACGGAAGAAUCGACCAACCAGGUCGCCAGUAUAGAGUAUGAAACUCGACCAACAAUGUCACAAGUAUAAGAUAUGAACUACCGUCGGCCACUAGCCGACAAUCCGACCCUCAGGGUACACCGACCUCAACGGUCAUCGAACAACAGAAGUCAAAGGAUCAACCAACCAGGUCACUGAUACGAAGUACAAGAAACCACUAACCAGGUCACAAGUGUAGGAGAUGCAACGACGACCAACCAGGCCAUGAAGAUCAUAUACAGAUAAAGUCUACUCUACUCCUACACAUGAUACUACACCUGGCAACAACUAAGUAGAGUAAUAAGAAAACAGUAUGGGUGCAAGGCUCAACAUAUAUAUGGUAAAAGAUAUAAACAACAAGGGUAAAGGAAACGUCACCGAGCGUGCACCACUGUACCGACGUCGGAUCGAAGUACCCACCUGUACAACUGUCGCGCCUGUCUCCUGACUGCAGAAGAAUGUCAACCGGACCUAAGGAGGGUCCACUGGGUUAGUGUCUAAUCCACAACUAAGAAACCCUAAAAGCAUAACCCACAAGCAAUCCCACGGAGAUCGGUUUCCCAAUACCGAUUACCGUAACUCGCCGAAAGUCCCGAAAAUCGCACCGGGACUCCGUCGGGACCACUAAAAUGUCCCGGAACGCACCGACUCAUGAUACGAGUCACCCGCUGCCACAAAACACAUCAAAUAAGAUGUCUUGGCAGCAAUCCCAAAAUUUCGCCUCCAAACAAUUAUCGUCGGAUAAUCGUUCGGAUCCGGGUUUCCGAGAGUGUCUAUUUCGACACCGGAACCCACCGUCGCUCACCCGUCAUUUCCAAACCCCUGAAAUGACGUGAGUGACCAGCCAACAAGGCUCAGCGACUCAAGAAAUGCUCACGAGGAACCGUCGGAAGAAUUCCGAACCGAAACCGCGUUCUAUCGGCGGAUUUCGCCGAAAAACGCUCCGGAAAUCACUUUUCGAUUUCCACAAGGACUUGGGGCCUUGGACAAUCAGUCCAGAGGUUACCCACUACCCGCAAAUGCUUCCAACAGCAGCCACGACGAAUCAAAUUGCAUAAAAGCCCUCCCGAUUCUAAGAAAUCACAUUGUUUCAUGUAUUUUUUGGGCUUUUAUGGUCCGUCUACGCAAACCAGAGGUCAAUCAGCCGAGCUAAGAUAUCUAUUUACAGGUUUCGACGUGCCGGAGGCCGUGCUCACCUUUCGGAGCACUGCCAACCCUUUGUGGCAGUCGCACACACGACGCGAACCUCAGCGAAAUAGCCGUACAGCACUUACAUUGCGUCAAACUCGCAAACCAGGGCAUCGUUGACCCCAACGGAGGUGAGCAUGAUGUUCAGCACGAAGUAAGGAUGGCCGUGCUCACUUCCACUAUCAUCGGGGUGUCCUCGGAUUGCCGGAAAGGCAACCGAAAACCUCAAACAGUAAGCUGUAACCUAAAAACAGUCUUACCGGAGUGCAGGGAGCUAGGGUUAGCCGCCGGUGGCCGGGAGGCGGGCGGUCCGGCCGGAGAUGGAAGCAGUCGGUCCGAGAGGUCCGGGGAGGGUGAUGGCCGGCGGCGGGCGGCAACCGGUGGCGCGGCGGCUGAGAUCCACGCCUCCCACUCCUUCUCGGGUUUGAUCUUCCCGGCGGCGCGGCGGCGGCCGGAAGAGGUCGGGGUGGCGACGAACCGGCGGCGGAGGCCGAGGAGAAGGCGGUGCAACCCCCGGUUGGCGGCGGCGGCGCUUGGAAGCCGAGCGGACCCGACCUCGGCCCGCACGGGUCUGGGCGGCCGCAGGUGGUCUCAGCGGCGACCGGCGGCGCGCGGGGACGGCGGGGGACGAGCGCGCCGGGUUGCCGGAGGUUGCCGGGGUCGACAGGAGGGCGGCGCAGCCAAAGGGAGGCGUCGGCAGCUCGGGGAUACCGAGAUCACCCAGGCUCGGCCUGGGUGACUGCGGGUGGCCACAGGUAGCUGGGGCGGCGCCGGCGGCGCGUGUGGGCGGCGACGGCCGGCGGGGACGGCGCCGGGGAGAUCCAGGAGGGUGACGCUUCCAAUCCCGAGCGGCAGCAGGGCGAGGAGGAGGAGAUCCCACGGCCUCGGCCAGAUCUGCUUAGUUCUGGCCGCAUCUAGCCAGGGCGGUGAUGGCGGCGCUCGGGGGCGGCAGAGACGGCGCCGGGGUUAGGGUUGCAGCCUAGGACGAGGCCAGAGGCUAGUGGAUCUCUCCCUGAGGGCCACGACAGAGAUGAAGGGUCGAUCUAUGGUGGUUAGGUAUAGAAUAUGGUGGAGGAGAAGCCACCUGUAACAUACUGGACCUUUGCAAAUUGCGAGGUUCUAGUGAUUGAAUGUGUUUCGAGCUUUCCCACACUUGGUGGAGGGUUGUAAAAUGCUUUUCCGACCUAAAAAGUUCGUAAACUAGAAUUCUGGACAAGUCCUGAGAGUUUUUACUCUCGGGGACCGGUCCCUGGAAGGAGAGACCGGUCCCCCAAUGAGCAGUGUUGAGGCAGCCUGAGGCAACCGGUCCCUGGCAGGCGAGACCGGUCCCCGAGUGCGUCUUCGCAGUGAGAGACCGGUCCUGCACGGGGAGAGACCGGUUCCCGAACGUUGGUUUUUCGGGUUCGCAGCGAGAGACCGGUCCCUGCUGGGGAGAGACCGGUCCCUCUGGGCGAAAACUGCCCAGACCGGGCUGAUGCAAUAUUGAUUUUUUGAGGGGCCUCUCCAGAUUUUGUUACACUAGAUGGGCUUAUUAGCCAUUUCCUCCUCUUCCCUCUCUCAUUUUCUCAUUCUCACCCUCUCCCUACACUUUCUAGAGAGAGAAGAAGAAGAAGAAGGAGGAGAGAAAGAAGAGGAGCUAGUUUGAGGGAGCUUGGAGCUCAACCCCAUUCUCUCUUUUCCACCUUUGCAAGGCUUGGAGCUUGCUUGUAGAGCUUGGUGGUGGGCCAAUCUUCAACCCUAAAAGAUUUAGAGCUUGUUUGGAGGCAUUUUGGGAGGUUAGUACUUGGAUUCUACCCUUUGAUCCUUGGUUUGGUAGGUUUUACCAUUUGGAACCCUAGAAUGGGUAUUAGGGUUGAUUUUUGGGGCUUUUUGAUUUAGGGCUUGUGGGGCUAGAUUGAUUGGAUUAGAGCCUUCCUUGAGCUUGGAUUGGAAGGGUUUUAGCUCUCUUUUGGAGCUUUAGAAGAGAUUUCUUCUCUUGAGGUGAAUUUUGGCCCUAUUUGUUUCUAAAUUGAUGUUUGAUCUCAUGGUUGGUCGUAAUACUCUCGUAUCUCUUCGCUGAUCACUUUUAGGGUAUCUUGAGGCUCGUGGACAACUCCGUUCGACGAAUCGAAGGAGCACGCGACGGUUCGGUGGGUUUGGCCUAGCAUACAAUAUGAGAAAUGCUCAUAUUUGGUGUUAAAUGUUUCGUAAAGUUGAAAUUCUUGCAUUUUCAUGUUAAAUGUAAUUAUUAUGAAUUUUAGAAUGCUUAACAUGCAUAGGUUAUGUGUAGUAAAUUUUGGGACCUCUAUAUAGUAGAGAACAUGCAUGUGCGGCCUAGCAUUCUAGUUGAGACUUGAAAUUAUAAUCCCUAUUAUGAAAACGAACCUUGCUUUCAUGCAUUCGAACUAUAUACCAGAUGUGACAUUAGGGAUUUUUGGAAGCCUAGAGAGGCUUAGGGACUUAGAUGAUAUGUGAGAUUCGGCCAAUGUCAUGAAGAGGCAUUGGGGCCCGGGGCAUAGUGAGCAUUAAUGUUAAUGUCUUAAUUGGAACAUGAUUAGUUGUGAAGCUUAAGUGUCAUAAAGAGGCACUAAGCAAGUGUGUGUUGGGACUUCACAUUAUGACUCUGAACUAGAUCUUCGGGAUGCUAGUGACUAUACCAUGUUAGAGACAUGAGGAUUGGGUACUUGAGACAGUGACCUUGCUUGUUUGCCAUUUGUGCUCAUUCGCACAUGCUUGUGAGGGUCGCUCCCCACAAGCCGGCACUCCGGAGUUGGCCUCUGCGACUUUCGUUCGCUCGUGCGGUAUUGAGACGCCUACGGGGUCGAGUGGGACCGACACAUUCCAUGUGUAGGAAUGUCGGGCUACCACAGGCACUUAGGCGGCACAAGCCGGACUACCUUGGGUAGAUCCUUAAUUGGAAAUGAAAAUCGACACGGUUUGAGAAUGAAUGAUCACUACUAGAUAGGCUUAGUAGUUGGAUUACAUUUACAUGCUUUUAGCAUAGUGUGAGACAUGUAGUAUACUUGGUUGCCAUGAUAGAACUUCUACAUCGUGUAUUGACAAAGGUUAACAACAUUAAACUAGUGCAAUUGGACUUAAUUGUAAUGAUAGAAUAGAUGUACAUUUUGGUUGACAUCAUGCUUACUUGAGACACAGUAGACUAGCAUUUCAAUUAUGCUUUCUUUUAGCAGUUUAUUCACAUGCUCCUUACUACUUAUUAUUAUCGUUGCUUACCCUUAUUUUUGGGUCCUAGUGGAGCAUGAGCUGAGGUCAGUAAUUGCCCACUGGGAACUAUAAAUUAUAGUUCUCACGCCCUCUUUUUUUUCGUUGUUUUUCAGAGCCUUCCACACAGGGUGAGGCCAGGGAUCGCGGAAAGAGUAUUAUCUCGGGCUAGCGUGCUUACCGAGGGAUCGUUUGAUAGGUGGUCUACCUCUCUUUGUUUCUUUUGUGAGAGGUUGAGAGUUAUACCGGUGUACUAGAGACCACCAUUUUUGUACUAGAAGCAGAUAUUGUACUACUUAUGUUUCACUUUUAUGGUUUAGUUAUGCUCUUUUCCUAUUGUUAUAGAAGAUAGAAUCAUACUGCUCUGAUAUUAUUAGUUGUUACUCUUUCGUUUCUUUUACUUCUCGCUCUUACUUCCGCUUUUACUCUAGACGCCUUAUAUGUGUAGACAUAUGGCGGGUCUGAACACGCUACCGAGAGGGCCUCUGCCGAUCCCGGGGCGUGACACCACCCAAGCUUUUCCGGCGGCCGGGGGAGAUUACCGGCGGCCGGGGUACGCGCACGGCUAGGGCAGGAGCUGGCUGGUGUUGACUAGGGCAUAGCUAGGCAUUUGGGUCGGCUAGAUCUAGGGUUUCAUGCAAUGAAACCCUAGUCGCAACUUGUUUACAAGCGACAUUAUGGUUAAACGUCCCCCAAAGCUGAAUAUUUUCAGUUCAGACCCUGCUAGCACGUGUAAAAUGCACGAAUGCAUCCCCAUAACAGAUCCCGCGCAAGUCGGUUCAUAAAAUAUAACGACUUUUGUGAAUUUCCCGAUUUUCCACUCUCGACCCCUGAGCGAACAACAUGCAAUAUCCGACAAUCCGUUCAUCGGAUUUCCGAACGGAUCGCACCAUCGCGAUCAGCACAACGAGGGCAUCCAAACUACCAUCUUGUUUUGUCAGAUUUGGUCACGGAUUCGCGACGGAACCCACCCGCUCUCUAAUUAAUCCGUAUAUCGCGCAUAUACCGAAGUAUAAACCCUAAAACCUUUAAUCCAAAUUCAAAUUUGAAUUCCCUACCACCAGUAGGUACCAGAAACAACUCUCACCUAAUCCCAGGUCACAAGCACAGAGCACGAGGAGUUUUAAAAUGCACGAAUAGCAAAGAGCGGAAACCCUCUUUUUGUUAAAACUCCUUUUUCUCGAAAACCGUGCAUCGGAUCUGAAAUUCGUCAGUGCCAUUGGUUCCAGAAUAGCUGAGCCGUUCGAAACGAGCUAUUGGAGUCCUAUGCUCGGAGUCCGAUACGCGCCGAAAGCCAACUUUACUCCGUGGCUUCUCCGGAAAACCGGAGUUACUAUUUACUUUAAGUGAAAACUAAUAAUCGCGUAACUUCUCCGUUUUAGCUCAUUUUCUUCUGAAACUUGACGAGUGCUUAUGUAAUUAAAUUACACACAUAAACAUCGUCAACGGAGAGUUUAGUUGCAUUGUAAACAUCUCAGUCCUUACACAAGUCCACGGGCAUGAUCCAAUCUCCAAUCCUAACAGGGCAACUGGGGCAAAACUUCCGAAUGUCUAAAGAGUGAUCGGGUACAACAACUCGUCCAGGAUGCAACAAGGAUACAAGUGGGAUGCCAUGCAACUCGGCAAACAGCCGGUCUAUGAAUGAAUGCGAUGCACCGGUAUCAAACAAAGCUCUAACUCGAGUACCAUGAAGUAAAAUGAUACCUGCGACCACAUUCUCGGCUACCGCUGCCUCCUCAGUCUGGGCCCCGUACAUGCGCCCGCUCGGAGCCUGUCGUGACCCCUCCGUCUGUCGCUGGACCGAUGGCCGACCGGCCUGGUGAUGCGCAGAAGAUGUCCCCUGACUGGGACCUGGCGAAGCUGGGGCAGAUGCCGAAGAUGGCGCUGGCAAUGGACUCCUCGGGCAGUCCGACUGGAAGUGGCCCUCCUGGCCACACAAGAAGCACCUGCCCCGGCUGCGUGAACACUGCCGCGGGUAAUGAGGACCGCCACAGAUCACGCAGCGGGGAGCCUGACGACGAUCGGGUCCUCCUCGCUGAGUAGACUGGCCACGUCCUCGCGACUGGCUCCAGCUCCUGGGGUGCCUCGGCGGCCUCCGUGAGUGCGUCUGACUCGCACCCUCAGCCGCGGGUCUCUUUCCCUUGCCCUUGUCUAGGGCCUCGCGUCGCUCCUGCAGAUCUGCCGCUCCAGCCUCCACAAUAAGUGCACGGUCCACAACCUCCCGGUAGGUUUGGAGGUUGGAGGACUGCACCAACCGAAAGAUCGAAGGCCGCAAUCCACGCUAAAAAAUGCGGGCCUUGUCCUCAUCGUCCCGGACCACAAAAGCUACACAGUGGAGUAGCCGAGAAAACUCUCUCUCGUACUCGGCCACUGAUCACUCGUCCUGGCGCAAGCUGCGCAAAUCUUGCUCCAUCUUCCUCUUGACGCUGGUCGGGAAGUAGUGCGCCAGAAGGAGCUCCUUGAACCUCGUCCAAGUAAUCGCUGUCAAGUCGGUGUUGGGGUUGUCCUGGAUAUCCAACCACCAACGAUAGGCCUCGCCGUCCAGAAAGUGAGUGGCGAGCCAAACCCUAUCCCUCUCCAAAACGAAGGUAUCUCGAAAAAGCUUCUCCAUAUGCAUCAACCACUUCUCAACAAUUCAGUGGUCGACGUUCUCGCCAUCGAAGAUCCUCAGGCUGCACCUCCUGAACUCACUGAGGCGAUCCAUGAGCUGAUCCCGCUCGGCUCCCUCGGCCAUCACGGGAAAUGCCGCCCCCGUCACUGGUCUCUGAACAGGUAGUGCUGCAGCCACCUCCUCCCGAGGUGCGGUCGCCCGUGCUGCACGUGAAGAACUGGGCGCGGGGGACUGCGCCCUCGGUGCGACGUCCACCACGGGUGCUGGCGGUGUGGGGCCCUGGGUCUCCCUCGAAGCUGCCGCCUGCUGCAGUAGGAGGUCCUUAAGAUGCUUCAUCCGCACCUCCUGCCGCUGAGCUACCUCAGCCUGUCGCUGCGCCGCUGCCGUCUGCUGCGCCAACAGAUCAGUAAGAACCACAAGUUGGGCCCUCAAGUCACGGACCUCACUAGAUCCGGAAGUAGUGGAGGUCUCGACCUCCUCGGGGUGUGCCGCAUCAUCCGCCCCGGCAGACUGGGAGGGUGUAACCGGCAUCGUCACUACAAAACAUAAAAGCGCAAGUUAAUAACCCACACUAUUGCAUCCCCGCUCAAAACGAUAAAACCCAAAUCAUGCGAAAGUAGGGAAGUGUCCUUAACUACUAACUCCCGAUGUUAUGUUGUCGGCCGCCAACGUAACCCUCCGCGAAGUUAGGAGCCAUACACUCCGAUCAAACUCUAAGUUUUUAGAGUUAUCAAGACACCUGUAAGGACUGAGAUUUUUACAGUGCAACUAAACUCUCUGUUGAUGAUGUUUAUGUGUGUAAUUUAAUUACAUAAGCACUCGUCAAGUUUCAGGAGAAAAUGAGCUAGAAUGGAGAAGUUACGCGAUUAUUAGUUUCACUUAAGUGAAUAGUAACUCCGAUUUUCCGGAGAAGCCACGGAGUAGAGUUGGCUUUCGGCGCGUAUCGGACUCCGUUCAUAGCGAUCCAAUAGCUCGUUUUGAACGGUUCAGCUUUUCUGGAACCAAUGGCACUGACGGAUUUUAGAUCUGAUGCACGGUUUUCGAGAAAAUCUGAAAUUACAUGUUUCUUAUGUAAUUGUGCAUCAUUUUGGCCUUUUGGAGAGAGAAUGGAUUUCGUCGUGAAUCGGAGAUCAAAUCUGACGAAACGAAAUGCUAGAUUCGAUGCCUCGACGUGCUGAAUGCGUUGGCGUGAUCCGAUCGGAAAUCCGAUGGACGGAUCUUUUGGAAUUGCAAUAAGUUGGCUAAGGGGUCGAGAGUGGAAAAUCGGGAAAUUCGCAAAAGUCGUAAUAUUUUAUGUACCGAAUCGCGCGAGAUCGAUUGUGGAGUUGCAAAAGCGCGAGAGUUACCCAUUGUGAAGGACUAGGGUUGAAAUUUGUAGUUCAGGUGGACUUUUGUGCAAUUUGCACAUUGCAUACAAUGUGCAUCUAGGGUUCUUUUGCAAGAAACCCUAGAUCUAGCCGACCUAGUUACCCAACCGUGCCCUAGAUAGCCCCAGUAGGUCCCUGCCCUACCUGUGCUCAUGCCCAGACCUCCGGCGAGCAACUCCGGCCGCCGGAAAACUCAUGGUCAUCUUCCUCUCCUCCCCUCUCGGCCACCCUCUCCUCCUCUCUGCCGAAGUUGCUAGGGAAGCGACCACAGACCCUCUUGGAAGCUUCCUGGGAAGAUAUCUCCCUCUCCGGCGCCGGCACCGGCCAUCCCCGCCGUCCUCGCGCACCACCGGCGUCGCCCAAGCAAGCCGCGGGCAACCCAGACGAGCUCGGCCCGAGCAGACCUUAGCUCGAGGCUUGCGAGUCGUAGCAGCCCUAGCUCGGCCGCCCUGCCUCAUCUAGCCUCCGGCGUGAUCCCGCGCGCCAUUGCCGCUGCUCCCGACGCCGCCGGCCGCCGCCCCUGCUCUCUGCGGCCACCCAGACCGAGUACGGGUCGAGCCGGGGCUAGCCUGCCUCCGCACGCCGCCGCCGUUCCUCGCUGGCCGAGUCGCCCUUACUCCACCUCUGGCGACGUGCCGCCGUCGCCCCGACCCUCCUCCGGUUGCCGCCGUGGCCGCCGCUGCCCUAGGAGCCGAGGUGAACCCGCGGGGGCUGGGGUUGUUCCAGCGCCGCCAUCGCCGCCUUCCGCCGCCGGCCAGCGUGAUCGCCGGCUCCGCCUGGCCGGCCGCACCCGUCCACCGCCGGCUAACCCGCCGCCGGAGCUCCCUAUCAACCAUGGUGAGCCCAUGCUCUGCUCGUGUUGUGCGACUAGGGCAUCAUUGCUCGCCGUCGUCGCCGCCUCCCGUCGCCUGUUGACGCGAACCCCGGCCUCCUCUGACCUGGAGCACCUUCUCCUGGCCGGCCCACCGUCCGGCCACCGCCGGCCACCCCGAGCCCUGCCUAGCUCCGAUAAGCUUGUAUUGCAAUUAUUCUGCACCUUGUCUUGGGGUUCCGGUCAUUGUUCCGGUGAACCGAGGCCAACCCGAGUCCUCUGAAGGUGAGCACGAUGAUCCUGGUUCAGUGCUGAUCAUCGUGGCCACCUACAUUGGAGUCUAAGAGCUUCUGAUUUGCGAGAUAAGCAUGUUCUUCAUGCUGUGCGCGCUGUUCGCAGAUUUUCGUGUCACUCCCGCGCUCUCCGCUGUGGCCGAUAUUGCUCCGAAAGGUGAGCACGGCCUCCGGCACAUCGAAACCUGUCAGUGGGUAUUUUGACUCGGCUGAUUGAUCUCUGGUUUGCGUAAACGGACCAUAAAAGCGGCGAAAUCGCAUGAAAUAAUGUGAUUUCGGGUAUUCGGAAGGGCUUUUAUGCAACUUUGUCCGUCGUGGCUGCUGUUGGCAGCAAGUAUGGGUUGAGGAUAACCUCCGGACUGAUUGUCCAAGGCCCCGGACCUUUGCGAAGAUCGAAAAUGCAUUUCCGGAGCGUUUUUCGGCGAAAUCCGCCAAUAGAACGCGUUUUCGAUUCGGAAUUCUUCCGACGGUACUUGGGGAUCAUUUGUUUCAUCGCUGAGCCUUGUUGGCUGGUCACCCGCAUCGUUUCGUGGGUUUGGAAACGAUGGGUGAGCGACGGUGAAGUUCCGGUGCGGUUUUCGGGACUUUCGGUUUGUUCGGUAAUCGAUUUUGGGAAAUCGAUUCUCGUGAGUUUAUUUGUGGGGUUAUGCUUUUAGGGUUUCUUAGUUGUGGGUUAGACACUAACCUAGUGGACCCCCCUUAGGUCCUGAAGACGUUCUUUUGAAGUCAGAAGACAGGCGCGACAGUUGUACAGGUGGGUACUUCGAUCCGACGUUGGUACAAUGGUGCACGCUCGGUGACGUUUCGUUUACCCUUGUUGUUUAUAUCUUUUACCAUAUAUAUAUGUUGAGCCUUGCACCCAUGCUGUUUCCUUAUUACUCUCUACUUAGUUGUUGCCGGGUGUAGUAUCAUGUGUAGGAGUAGAGUAGACUUUAUCUGUAUAUGAUAUUUAUGAUUUGGUUGGUCUGAUCUCCUAUGUGAUCUCCAUGACCUGGUUGGUCGACGUUGCAUCUCGUACACUUGUGACCUGGUUGGUGGUUUCUUGUACCUCGUAUCAGAAACCUGGUUGGUCGGUCCUUUGACUUCUGUUAUCCGAUGACUGUUGAGGUCGGUAUACCCUGAGGGGUCGGAUUGUCGGCAAGUGGCCGACGGUAGUUCUAGAUUAUAUACUUGUGACCUGGUUGGUCGUUUUGGUUACAUGAUGACCCAUGCGGUCGAUGGUUCCAUAUUGAUAUCAUGCUUAGGAGUAGAGUCGACUUAUCUGUUCACUAUAUCUGUGAUUUGGUUGGGCGGUUCCCCUAUUUUGAUAUCUAUGACCUAUUCGGUCGAGUUGUUACAGUUCUAUCUUGACAUACGUAGCCGACUAGUUGUUGAUGGCCUAUACGGUCGGUGUGCCCUAAGGGACUGGAUUGUCGGCUAGUUGCCGAUGGAAGAUCUUUGAGCAUACUACAUUGAUCGCCACUGCAGGUACGCAUUUCACGAACACCAGCGGUCUGAUCCAACGCAAGAGGGUGUUCUUUUCCGGAAAAGUGGUUGGAUUGCCAACCUGUGAGCCCAGGGGCUUUAUUGCGAGGGUAUAUACUUCUGACCCAGGGGCUUCAUUGCGAGGGUCAGGUACUAUGCUUCUGACCCAGGGGCUUCAUUGCGAGGGUCAGGAACAGGUUGAGCAGUGUGGCAUGGGCCUGAGGUCUUCGGACCAAUAGGGCAACGAGAUUGGGUACUGUUGAGAUUAUCGUUAGUUGACGCAUAUGUCUAUAGUAGCAGUCGUGCAUGCAUAUUUACAGUUCUUACUUUAUAGUUGUCAUGCUACUAUAGUAGAUAUUCACGUAUGCUUUCGGUUCCAGUUACAGUAGCGGUAGCCGUUGUUCAGUCUAGUUCUUACUUUCUGUCAGUUUAUUGCUACUGUAUUUAGUAUAUCUGCUCAUUACUUUAUACAUCUCUUUCGCUUACUAUUGUUCCUACUGUAUUUCCACUGACCCGUGUUGUUGUAUAGCUCUUCCUGAUCCGGUGAGUACUUCUCGCCUUCUUCGGCUUGCGGUACCCACUGGGAGGGGAGACAUGUUUACAUGUUCUCACCUCCCCUACCAUUUUUCAGGUAUCGCAGGCGGUGUGUAUUGGGACGAGACGCAAGAUAUGUACGUAGCGGUCGAUAGAUCUUCCGACCCAGGUUGUUCGAUUUAGUUUCUACUCUUACUAUUCUGUUGUUAUAGCAUGAUAGCUUGUAUGGUUCAGUAUUUAUUUACAUUUGAAAAUGUGGAUUUUCAUGAAUGUAAUAAAAGGAUUUCUGGAUUUGGUAAACUAAAAAGUUUUCUACCCCUCGUGGUAGCGUUUCUGAAGAAUAAAGGUUUCCGUGUAGGAAACAGUUUUCAAAAGGAUUUUUCGUGGAUUUCUGUUUAAACAUUGAAUGUAAAACUGUGAUGUGAAUGGUGAAUGUAUGAAUGUAUAAUUAUCUUUAUACUCAUCUAGUUGUGGUUGUAUCCUGGUUGUACUCUUGUACUUGUGCGACGCCGUGCAAAUACAGGGGAGACUCUGUCCGUGUGAACAGUGGAUCUCCUGUAUUUAUGGCGGAUCUGGCAUACUCUGGGGUCAGAUAUAUAUUAAAAAAAAAAAAAAAUUCAAACGCUUUUCCGCUAUCUUUUAAACUGAAAGGGACCCCGGGGCGUGACAACACCCAAUCAGGAUACUUUCGAUCACAAGUCAAAUAGGCCUCGUCUCUCACGAGCCUAUUUCCUACAGUCCAACCGGCCUAAGGUUUGCUAGGUCCACUAAGACUCAACCCUAGGCUCUGAUACCAAAUUUGUCACGCCCCGGGACCGGCGAAGGCCCUGCCGGUAGCGUGCCCAGACCCGCCAUAUGUCAACAUAUAUAAGGCGUCUAGAAUAAAAGCGGAAGUAAAGCAAGAAAUAGUACAAAUAGAGCAGUAACAACUAGUGAUAUCAGAGCGAGCAAAGUUCUAUCAUCUAAGCAAGAGUAGAGAAAGCAUAACUAGACAGUAAGAGUAAACAUAAGGUAGUACAAAUAACAUCUCCUCAACAGGAAUACAAGGAUCCAAAAGAAGGGUGGUCUCUCUACAAAUACGGGUACAACUCACAACCUCUCACACAAAAAAAAAAAAAACUACGAGAGGUAGACCACCUAUCAAAUCGUCCUCAAAGGGAGCUAGCUCGAAGCAACUCCCUUCCCGCCGUCCCUAGCCUCUCCGGCGUGGAAGGCUCUGAAAGAAAACACAAAACAGAGGGCGUGAGAACUAUGAUUUAUAGUUUCCAGUGGGCAAUUACUGACCUCAGCUCAGUGCACCACUAGGCCCCAAAAGAAAGGGUAAGUCUAACAAUAAUAGUAACGAGUAAAUUGCAUAUUGGAAAGCAUAAUAAUUAAAAUGCUAAACUACGACUUGCAAUUAAACAUGGCAUUCCUAAUGCGACUUUAUCUUGUCAUGGAUAUUUAUAUAUUCACAAGUAAUAUAAUGCUUUACUUUAUACAGAUAUGAAAGUAAUACUUGGUCAUGACUACAAUGCAUAUAAGGAUGCAAUAAACAACAUCUCCUAGCAUACUACAUGUAUGUAUGAAUACCCGAAUGUCCACAACUAUGCUAGAAGUCCAAGUAAUCCUACUACUACUCUCUGACUAGUAGUGAUCAUAAUAAACUCAACACCGUGUCGAUUUCCAUUUCUAAUUAAGGACCAACCAAAGGUAGUCCAGCUUGUGCCGCCUAAAUGCCUGUGGUAGCCCGACAUUCCUACUCUUGGAAUGUGUCUGUCCCACUCGACCCCGUAGGCUUCUCAAUACCGCAUGAGCGAACAUAGGUCGCGUAGGCUAUCUCCGGAAUGCCGGCUUGUAGGGAGCGACCCUCACAAGCAUGUGCGAAUAAGCACAAAUGGCAAGCAAGCGUAGUCCAAGUCUCAAGUGUCCAAUCCUCAUGUCUCUAACAUGGUAUCAUAACUAGCAUCCCGAAGAUCUAGUCUAAGUCACAAGAUGAAGUUACAACAUUCAAUACGCCUAGUGCCCCUUGAUGACACUUAGACAAUCUAAUGUUCAACAUAUCCCCAAUCCCUCAAUGGCUCUAACCACUAGGUUCACACAUGUCCCGAGCUCAAUGCCGCUUGAUGACAUUAGCUCUCCAGUUCACCUACAUUCUAGUUCGAUAGCUCUAUAAGGCAAUUUUGUCAACUUUCAUGUCUCAAAUAAACUUAGGUUUAAAUGCAUGAAUCGAAUCUCAUUUACACUAUAGGAGCAUGAAACCACGUUUCAUAUAGAAUGCUAAGAGCCACUAUAGGCCUACCAAGCUACUCUCUACUACAUAGAGGUCCAAAAUUUCAUCAUAUAUAACAUAGGCCUUUUAAACAUUCUAAAAUUCACAAUAAAUACAUAUAACAAGAAUAUGCAUGAUUUUUCAUUUGACGAUACUUAAUUAGGAACAAAUGAGAAUUUCUCAUUGUGUGGCUAGGUCAAACCCACCGAACCGUCGCGUAGGGCCUCGUUUCGCUGAACAAAGUUGUCCCCGAGUUCCAAAAUACCCUAAAAGGAUUGAGUGAAAAGAUACACGGGCAUUACGACCAACCAUAAGAUCAAACAUUAACCUAGAAGCAAAAAGGGCCAAAAUUCACCUCAAGCGAAGAAAUCUCUUCCAAAGCUCCAAAAGAAAGCUAGAACCCUUCCAAUCCAAGCCCAAGGAAGGUUCUAAUCCAAUUAAUCUAGCCCCAAAAGCCCUAGAUCAAAAAGCCCAAAAUCAAACCCUAAAUCUCAUUUCUAGGGUUUCAUCUACAAAAACUUUCAAAACAAGAUCNNNNNNNNNNNNNNNNNNNNNNNNNNNNNNNNNNNNNNNNNNNNNNNNNNNNNNNNNNNNNNNNNNNNNNNNNNNNNNNNNNNNNNNNNNNNNNNNNNNNAAACUGAAAAUAGCAUCUAUAUAAAACCUCGGGGGUUCCGGUACAUAUAAAAUCCAAGAUACGAACAUCCCUCACUCCAGCGAGCAAACCAGCAUAAGUAUGUACAUGAACCAAAAUACCCCAAAACUAUCUGUAGAUGGUACUCCUCUCGUACUGCAACCAGGGAAGGGAUCUAGCUCGCGAUUUCCUUUCCACGAUCAGAAUCGGCGAUAGCAGCAGCCGCAGAAGAAGGCUCUGCAAAAAGGGGUCAAUAACUGAGUGUGAGAACUACUGCAAAAAGGAAUAGUCCUCAGUGGGUACUACUACCGAUCUCAACGGCUCACCCACUAAGUUUACAGAAAGUAUGCACAAGGAUAGUAAAGGAAGCUGGUAAAACUCUACAGCUAUAUGUCACUAUACUAGUGCUAACCAACACUAGCAAUCUGUAGAUAUAAGCAAGAUGCAAUCUCUGAUCCAAUCUCACUAGGGACUGUGAACACACUCGUCCCGCCUGUUGAAGCUACACCAACCACCACCACGCUAAGUUGUCGGUGGAGAGCAAGUCCAACCAGGACACUACGACAUCAACGCAAAAGCACAAAGCCCAAUUCUGGAGUGGCACUCGUGGGCGCUACCCAACCGAGUAUGCAAGCGUGUCUCUGUUGAGCUGUAAGGACUGAGAUUUUUUGACAGUGCAACUAAACUCUCUGUUGACGAUGUUUAUGUGUGUAAUUUAAUUACAUAAGCACUCGUCAAGUUUCAGGAGAAAAUGAGCUUAAACGGAGAAGUUACGCGAUUAUUAGUUUUCACUUAAGUGAAUAGUAACUCCGGUUUUCCGGAGAGGCCACGGAGUAGAGUUGGCUUCUGGUGCGUAUCGGACUCCGUUCAUAUCAGUCCAAUAGCUCAUUUCGAAGGAUUCAGCUAUUCUGGAACUACUGGCGCUGACGGAUUUUGAGUUUGAUGCACGGAUUUCGAUAAAAUCCAAAAAUACAUGUUUUAUAUGUAUUUGUGUGUGUGUUUCCUUCUAUUGGAAAAAGGUUGGAUUUUGUUGUGAAUCCGUGGUCGAUCGAGAUGAAUCGAAGGUGUAGCUUUGUUGUCUCUGAGGUGCUGAUCGCACUGGUGCAAUCCGUUCGCAAAUCUGACGGACGGAUCUGCGGAGAUCGCGCGUUGAUCGAGGAGAGGUCGGUGUUGGCAAAACGGUAAUUUCGCAAAAGUCGCGACAUUUUAUGUACCGUUUCGCGUGAAAUCGCACGUAGAGGGGUAUUCGCGCGUUUUACUUGUGCUGUGAGGGACUAGGUUUGAAAUUUGUAGUUUCGGUGGAUUUUGGUGCAAAAUUGUACCUUGUGUAUAAUGUGCAUCUAGGGUUUCUUUGCACGAAACCCUAGAUCUACUCGACCCAGCUCCCCAUCUGUGCCCUAGCCGACCUCAGAGUAGCCCUGCCCUUGCCAUGCUCUCACCCCGACCGCCGGCAGGUGCCCGGCCGCCGAAAAACUUGAACUCGGCCACCCCCUCCAUCUUUCUCUCUCAACCAAUCCACCUCUACUUCUCUGCCCGUGGACCACCUGGGAGAUCAUCACCUUGGGCCCCCAUCCCCUGGCCAUGCCCGACCUCCGACGAAGCCCCGGCGCCGGCCCGGUCGUCCCUGCGCAUUGCCGCCGCCGCCUAGGCAGGCUACGGCCAGAUCUAGGCAGAUCUGGCCCAGGAGCUUUAGCUCCCUGCUAGCUUUGCCGCCGCCACUUUGGGACGGCCGAGACGCCCUUCCCCGGAGCCCCGGCGACCUCCGCCGCCGGCCCCACCGUCUGCGCACGCCGCCGGAGCCGCCCCAGCUCCCUGCGGUCACCUGCUAUCACCCAGGCCGAGUCUGGGUGAUCUUUGCAUCCGCGCGCCACCACCGCUCCCCGCUGGCCGCGCCGCCAUCCUGGAACCUCCGGCGACCUCCGGCGUGCCUCCCCGUCGUCCCCGCGCGCCGCCGGUCGCCGCUCGUGCACCCUGCGGCCGCCCAGAGCUUGCGCGGGCCGAGGCCGAGCCACCUCGGCCACCGCACGACGCCGCCGCCCACGGAGGGGUGCACCAUGACCCCCUCAGCCUCCGACGACGGAUCAACGUCGCCCCGACCUCCUCCGGCCGCCGGGAAGCCUUGAACCCGAGAGCUGUUGGCGGAAUUGAUCUCCUCCGCCGCGCCACCGGCCGCCUCCCGCCGCCGGCCAGCAGGUUCCCCGGACCCGUUGGACCAGCCGCACCCUUCCCUUGCCGGAGCGCACGCCGUCCGACAGCCGCCGGCCGUGCCCUAGCUCCACCCUGUCCCGUAAGCUGUUUUCAGCCUGUCUGCGCACUAGUUCCUUGUUUAGAUCACUGUUCCUGCGACCUGAGGCUGUUCCGAUGCCUCCGGAGGUGAGCACGGUGAUCGUCAGUCAGUCCUGAUCACAGUGCUCACCUCACUUAGGGUCAAUGAGCCCCUGGUUAGCGAGAUAAGCAUGCUUUUCCUACUGUGCGCGCUGUUUCACUAAUUUUGCGUCGCCCGUGCGCGUGCCACAGUGGCCGGCAGCGCUCCGAAAGGUGAGCACGGCCUCCGGCACGCCGAGACCAGUCAGCGGGAGUCUUGCCUUGGCUGUUUGACCUCUGCUUUGCGUGUACGAUCCAUAAAAGCCAUGAAAUCACAUAAAAUAAUGUGAUUUCAUGUGUCGAUAGGGGCUUUUAUGCCGUUUUCUUCGUCGUAGCUGCUGUUGGCAACGAGUUAGGGCUGAGGAUAACCUCUGGACUGAUCGUCCAAGGCCCCAAGCCUUUGCAAGUGUCGGAAAGAGACUUUCGGCGCGUUUCUCGGCGAAAUCCGCCGACGGAACGCGGGAUCGGUUCGGAUUCCUUCCGACAGUGCUUCGUGAUGAAUUGUGUAGUCGCUGUGCCAUGUCGGCUGGUCACUCGCAUCAUUUUGAGGGUUCGGAAAUGACGGGUGAGCGACGGUAGGUUCCGGUGUCGAAAUAGACACUUCAGGGAACCCGGAUUCGUACGAUUAUCCGGCGAUGAUCGUAUGGUUGUGUCACCUCGUGUCCGCUGCCAAGGCAUCCAAAUUGGAGUGUUUUGGGGCAGCGGGUGACUCGUGGCACGAGUCGGUGAGUUCGGGACACUUAGUGGGUCCCGACGGCGUCCCGGUGUGGUUUUCGGGACUUCCGGUGAGUUACGAUGAUCGGUUUUGGGAAACCGAUACGGGGUUCUGUGUGGGGUUUGUGAGACAGUGUACUUCAGGUGAGUGGGUUGGUUACUGACCCGUGGGAUCUUCGUAGGUCCGGUCGACUUGUGCGUACCCAGUGUUCCGACGCGACAGUGACAGGUGGGUACUUCGAUCCGAAGUCGGUACAGUGGUGCACGCUCAGUGAUAUUUCUUCUAUUCCUGUUCUUCUAUUGCUAUUUUCGUAUUAUAUAUUGAGCUUGCACCCCCGUUGUUUCUAUCAUACUCUACUCAUAUGUUUCUAUGCUUAGUAUCAUGUGUAGGAGUAGAGUAGUUUAUCCUUAUGUGAUACCGGUGACCUGAUUGGUCAGUUCUCGUACUUCAUUUCAGUGACCUAGUUGAUCGGUGCUUUUAUCUUAUAUCUGUUGACCUGGUUGGUCGGUUGUUGCAUUAUGUAUUGGGUUGGUCUAUUUGUUGACUUCUGUCGUUCGAUGACCUUUGAGGUCGGUGUACCCUGAGGGGUAGGAUUGUCGGCUGGUGCUGACGGUAGUUCUGGACUAUAUCGAAUACACUCCUGUGACCUANGAACAAAAUAAUAAAAAAUAAAAAAUAAAAUAGGAUACGAAAGUAUUAUACUUUAAAUCACACACUACAAUAAAUAGGGCAUAUAGCAACAAUUAUAAAACUGUCGCUAAAAGUAAAAAAAUUGUCGCUAUAAUGCAUAGCGGCAGUUGUAGCGGCAGUUUUACAACUGUCCCUUAUAAAGCAGUCGCUAUUUAAUAUAGCGGCAGUUUUAAACCGUCGCUAUUAUUUAGCGACAAUUAUUUUAAAAUAUUACAACACUUUGAUAACCGCCGCUAUAUGUAUUUCUUAAGUCAAUUUCGAUGACUUAUAGCGGCUAUUUUUGAAUUGUCGCUUUUAAUUUCAAUGAAUAGCUACAUUUUUUCAACCGCCGCUAUAUGUCUAUACAUGUUGAUUUUAUUAAUUUUGUAGCAACAAUUCUCCAACCGCCGCUAGUAGCUUAAGUUAAGUAAUUUUAUCAUAGCAAUUUUUAACGUCCAGUUGAGAUACAUAAUUAAAUUUUAUAAGAGCAAUUUUUAAUCGCCCAGUGAGAUAUCUAAAUAAAAAUAUAUAGCAAUCUUAAUACUUUUUCCACAUAUGCAAAUAACAUUUAAAACUUAAUUUUUAAAUAAACUCUAAUAGCAUGCCUUAUCAAUAUAAAAAUAAAAAAGUACACUUUUAUUAUUUAAAAAUAUAAAAGUACCACCCACUAACUAAUCAUUCAAACAAAAUUAAAAUGACAAAUAGUCUUGAUAUAAAUUGUAUCCACAUGUAGCAGCACACUCAUUAAUAUUCAGGAAAAGGAAAAAAAAAAAAAACAAAUUCUUCAGUAGCCCAAAGUUCUUCAACAUUGAUCACGUAUGAAUAUAUUCGACCUGCAAAAUGAAGACAUAAAAAUAUAUAAAGUCUUCAUUACAAUAUCAUCAAAUCUGAACCAUAAGAACUUCAAAAUAGUAUAUAUUGUACUUACGAAAGUAGAAGGCCAUGCAAUAGUCUGGAGCACAGCAUCUCCAAUAGUUUUGAACUUUCCAUAUGAUCUAAUUAACUUUUCAGAAGGAAUCAUUGCUAUUUCAAUAUAAAUUUCCCAAAACUGAUUUCCUAACUUUUCACCCCCUACUUGCGUAGUUGGAUCUUUACUUAUAAGAGUUCCUUGUGCAACACUAUGAUAAGGCCUAAAAGGACUUUUUAAAAUCACCUCCGCUCUCUCCUGCAAGUUUGUAGGAUAUAUAAUUAUAUCAAUAAUAUAUAUUUAGUUUUUAAAAUAAUAUUGCAAUAUAGUACUUGUAAGAAAAGAAAGAAUUAUGAAUUUGAUCUCCAAGUUGUAUAAAUAAUAAUUUGAAAAGUAAAUUGCUCAUUGUUAUAUAUGAUACUUUACCUGUGUAGAUGUCACAUUUUUUAUCGUCCUUCUAUUUACCUUAAGUACCUGCGAGUAUGAUAAAUUUUUAAAGGACGACUUUUAAUCAUUUUUAUUUAAUACUAAUAAUUUGAAUAAAUACAUAAGCAAAAAAAUUACUUUAUCAUAUUUUGCACAUUUAUAUACCUGACGUGGUGGAACGAGAUGACUGGAAGAAGAUGAUUCAAUUUCUUGUUGUGAAUUUUCUUCGGGAGAACAUUCAUUUUCGUAAUUCUAUACAAAAUAAAAAUUAUUAUCAUAAUAUUAAGAUAAUAAAAAUAUAAAUAUAUAACUAAUUUUAAAAUACCUGUCGGUCCUUUAAGUGAUCGGAUUGUGGUUUUGUACGCCUCGAUGUAGGUGGGUUUUCACUUGUCUUAGUUUGCGUGUGGGAUACAGUUUUAAACAGGUUUUCGUAUGUUUUUUAUGAAUUCNUCCAUUAGUGUUUAAAAAUUUCAGCUUCCUUUUUGUGAUCACUUUUCCAUCGGAUGUUUGUUGUAUUUUGUCAUUGCAUCAUCCAUCUCCUUAGGAGUGCUUAUCGGCUUGCAUCAUUCUAAGGAUUGUUAGCUGUAUGUCAAUGCGUAUCAUGCUUUGUUUGUUGAUUGGUAAAUGUAGGUUGUGGUUGAGAUCCUGUUGUAUAGCUGGUACGGCGUCCUAAUACCCAGAAGACUCUGUCCGAGUGGAUCGAUGUACUUUGUCUUUGUGGCGGGUCUGUACGUCGCGUGGGCCAGGUUAAAGAUAUCUUCUGGGCCAAUGUUACGUUUUCCGUUACUCUAUUUUACAAUUUAGCUUUUAAAAUCGGCUCCGGGGCGUGACAUAUCCGUUUCUGCAAAUAAUGUCAUGUUACAAUACAAUUUAUAAUAAAAUAUUUUAGACAAUAAAAAUAUGAUAAAUAUUUGUCAAUCUACAUACAAUGUGAUCGCUUGAUGCUUUAUUCAUUGGUUCUUUGUUCUUUUUAGUGUGGGUUAGCACGAAAAUUUCUGCUCUAGAAAGCUCUUUCCCUCCUCUGUUUGCGCUCUGUUAAGCAUGCAAUAAUGAUAUGAUAAAUUAAACAUAUUUAUCUUGUUUUUUUUUUUUAAAAAAGAAGCAUACCUCAUCAUGAUUUACGCGUGCAAAACUUUUUGUGCCGGCAGUGUGAGUUGUGACAAGUUUUGAACGGUUAAGUUUGUUUGUACUACUCCUUUGCUGUAAUAAAUAUAAGACAAAAAUUGGCAAUUGUAUCAUUUAGUUUAUAUAAAAUAUAUAUACUAAGUAGACAUUUAACUAGAGUUUAAAACAAACUAAUAGUUAUCUAUAAUACCUGUCCCUCGGGAGAGCUCCAAAAAUAAACUAACUUCUCCCAUUGUUCCGGAAUGACAGUUUCUGGGCAAUUGGCAAUUCUUUCUUCAUCUGUUUUAUAUAUUUCAUAAAAUUUGCGCUUCAGCAUACAUUUAUAAUCCUUCCAUUUUUUUCCAAGGGAUUUUAUAAUCCACUCUUUGUAAUCUUCAAUACCAUCAAAUUUUGACUGCACAUAGCAAAUAAGCAUAUUACUAUUAAAUUAAUUUUGUCACAUAAAAUUACAGAAUGCACCAUUAUACUAAAUUAUUAGUUACAUACCAUCAAAAUAUUCCACAAUAAAUCUUUAUUAUCAGUUGGUACAGCUCUCCAGUCAUUAUAAUCAAGAGGUGCUUCCAUUCCCUUUCGAGCUAAUACUCCAAGAUAUCCUAUAAGCUUUUUAGCACUAUCACCAACUGGUUGCCCUUUAUCAUUAAAUGUUAUUUUAAUAAAUUUACCCUCUGGUAGUGCCCAUAUCUCAUCCAUUCUUCUUGGCCCGCGCUUUCUCUUUAAUGCAGAAUCCUUUUCUACAAUAUACAAAAUAUGUCAAGCUUUGUAAAAUCAUAAAUUUUAUUGAAUAGGAUAAUUAACAAGAUAAUACAACCUUUUGAAGUAUUUUCUUCUUGAUUAUAUAGUUGCUGACUGCUUGUUGGAGUUAGGCCUGAAGGUGGUUCGCGUUGCCUUGGAAUUGAUUGUCGUUGAUCUGUUGUAUUAGGAUGAGAAUGUAGAUUUGAUGUUGAAUGAUUUGAAAAACGUCUAUAAUGUUGUUCUUGUUGGUCGGAGAAAUUAGGAUGAAGGCCAAUUGAACAAUCUUAUUGCAUCACCAAACCACUUCUCGUAGAAUGUUCUGUAUAACGUGGUUGAGACCGAAUUUCUCCACCAAAAAUCAGUUGUAUUAUAAUAGAAUAUAUAAGAUAAAUAUAAGAAUACAAGUACACAUACUACAAAAUAGAAUAAAAGCAAACUUUUAAUUUUACGAUAGUACCUUGAUUCAUGAUGUCUUGAUCUUGAUGACAAGUUGAGGGUUUAUCAUGCACUGCAUGCUCAACAAUAUUAGGUAGAGGACCAGCUUUCAUUCUAGACCGCACUGUACCACUUCGCGUCGAAUAUUGCAUCCGGUGUGAUAAAAGUCCAUAGUCUAUGUCCAAAGGAUUUACUAUUUACAAAAUAUGAAGAAGGUAUAAAAAAUAACUACAAAUAAAAAUCACACAGAAUGUAAUAUUUUUUAACGGUAUACUCCAUAAAGUUGUCAACUAAUCAGCCAUUAUAUGUUUAAGAAUAUUAGGAAGAGAGUAAGCUAUAAGCUUUAGUUGCACUUCUCAUGUAUAUUUAAAUAUUCAAUAAUGUGACAAAAAUUGAUCUCCUAUUUUUGAUGAGAGAUAUUAGGGUGUAAAUUCUCAAAUAUUACCAGCUUCGUCAACAUUUUCAUUUCGAGACAAAGGUGGGUGCUGAUCAGCUGCUGUCUGGAAAUUGGAUCUUUGAUACCUUGAAUGGACAUGAUGAUUGGCAUUUACUUGCAUAUGAUAUUUUGAAGAAUGCUUUGAAGUUUCUUGACUAUGUAAGCCAUGAUUUUGUUGUCCUUGUUGUUUAGAAGAUUCAGAUAUCAUGUUAGUCGUAAAUUUUGGAUGAAUCACACGCUUCUUCAUUGGUAAGUCCUGCAAAAAAUUGUUAAUAAAAGCAAAGAAAAGGUUAGGAACAAAUUAUAGUUCUAAAUUAUGUUAAAAUUCUACACAAUAAUGAAAAGUUUAUUUUGCAUUGAAAUAAAAAGUGCAAAAAUUUAAAUUAACCUUCAUAAGGAAAUUAUGUGAUAUACAAUUGCAUCCUAACAGUCACUUUCAAUAAAAUCUGAUUCAUAAUCAUUUCCCUCCCUCUCUACGUUGGAUGUAGGUAAAAAAACAUCAAUUGUUACACCUGGAACAUCAGUCCGAACCCAAUUAAUGUCUUCAUCAAUGUCAGAACUUAUUAUAUUCUCUGCCAUAUUUUCAUUAGGGCUAUAUAAAAAAUCAACAUCCAUAUCAUCCUUUCCAUCAGUUAGAUUUAGUUUCUCAUUCAUAUCAAAUAGGUCUCUUGGUUUGUGUUUGACUACAACAUGCCAAUCUUUCUCUAUAGGGUCCUGUACGUAGAAUACUUGCUCAGCUUGCGAGGCGAGCACAAAUGGCUCGUCUGAAAAAUUUUUUCCUGUGUUAGUUAGCCUUUUGAAGUUUACCAAGGUAAAACCAAACUCAUCUUGCUUAAUUCCGCUGCGACGAUUGAUAUCCACCCAAUCACAUUUGAAUAAUACAACUCUAAAAUGCCCACGAUAGUCAAGCUCAAAAAUAUCUGUCAAGAUGCCAUAGUAGUUAACAUCUCCCAAACUAGGAUUUUCAUCCUUUGCACUUGCAAAGCUAGAUGUUGUUGCUGAAACAACAACACCACUAUUUUGAGUAUUUCGAUUAAGUUCACGAUCUUUAGUAUGGAAUCGAAACCCGUUUAUCAAAUAUGCAGUAUAUCUGAUUGCCAUAUCAUUAGGACCUUUGGCAAGCCAGAACAGUUCAUCAGAUAUAUGUUCUAUAUUUGCCUUUUUUAAUGCCAUUACCUGAGGAGAUAAAAUAAAAGUU
RNAcentral lists this long non-coding RNA (49413 nucleotides) under Ananas comosus (pineapple). Its description in RNAcentral is "long non-coding RNA (ACOM_LNC005719)". Lineage: Eukaryota; Viridiplantae; Streptophyta; Magnoliopsida; Poales; Bromeliaceae. The record is from RNAcentral.